This 76339-nucleotide long non-coding RNA is filed under the name Brachypodium distachyon (stiff brome). RNAcentral's name for it is "long non-coding RNA (BDIS_LNC001806)". The stretch from base 49256 to 49391 matches the Rfam family "MIR1120/MIR1122 microRNA precursor family". Lineage: Eukaryota; Viridiplantae; Streptophyta; Magnoliopsida; Poales; Poaceae. The record is from RNAcentral.
CAAGCACAAGUAAAUAUUUCAACAGGUAUUGUCGUCGACACACACAAUUCAUGGCAUAGUCAUCUCAAGAUCCAUGAUCAGUAAAUUAUCCAAACUCUAGUAGACACUAACCCAGCUUGUACAGCAAAACAAUGCACGAAUGAAAUGUACUACUAAACCACGAUAACUGGCAAGAUGCCCAGAAAACGAUGACAGUGCUUCCUCAAAACCAAAAACAUAAACAAAAAAAGAUAACAAAUAAUACCUGAACAUGCUCCUGAUCAUUGCCAUUGGGUCUUCCUCAUCUUCAAAAUCAUCAUCAAAUCUUCUUUUCGCCAAUUGUUUUUUCUUUGCGCGAUCAUCACGUAUUCCAUUGGCAGAUGCUUGUCGAGAUGGCUACAGGCACAAACACAAACACGAUGAAGAAACAAACUUAGCGGAAUAAUAUUAUCCCAAAUUAUCGCACCGAAUGGCAUAACACGAAAGUAAAUAAAUGACAGAUUAUCGCAUCAGAGCUUCAUUUUACAACUAAAGGCUUCACAGAAAUAUUACCAUGGGUUUUGACGAAGGCCUCGCCUGCCUUUCUACUUGCUUUACUCUAUCAUUUGCUUGAACUCUUCUUUGCUCAGGAUAAUGACCUUGAGAGGAAAGAGGCCUUUGCCGUUGCAGAAGCUCUGGUCUGUAGCUUUGUGACUGUGGUCUUUGGCUCUGUGAGGAUUGCAAUUGUGAAGAUUGUUGUGGUCUCUGUCUCUGCAACGAUUGCUGCGGCCUCUGACUCUGUGGCAACUGUUGUGGUCUGUCAGGCCGCGAUGACUGCAGUGGCCUCUGGCUAUGGGAUGACUGUUGUGGCCUCUGGCUUUGUGAUGACUGCUGUGGUCUCUGGCUCUGUGACGACUGCUGUGGUCUCUGGCCAUAAGAGCCUAACUGGAGCCUCUGACUUUGUGACGGUUGUGGUCGCUCAUUUGGUGAUAAAAGGUGUUUUGAAGCUAAGUGAUUCUUCCUCAGAGAUUGUUCGUUUACAUCCUUCAAAGCAGGCUUACUUGUAGUAGGACCCUUGCUCAGAAACUUCUGACCUGCAGCUUUGCUUGUCGACAAGCUGGACCCAUUUCUAACAGCACCAUGCAUCCUUCCAUUGUCAAGUGAUGAAGCCCUUUCUCUAUUUGGAAAAGCUUCCUUUCUCUUGCUUUCAGCAUGUCUUAGAGCGGAGGAUGUGCUGUUCAACCCGUUUCUGUUUGGUAAUCUGGCAGGAUGACUUGUUGGUGCUCUGCCCUUCACAGCUGAAUGCAUCAACUGGCGAUCUUCAGCAAUGAAAAACUAACAAUCAGCACUCUCCACUAAACAGAAAAGACAAAGUUCCAUGAAAUAGAAAUUCAAACUCACCAGACUUUUGAGUCAAGGCAGACCUAGCGGCAGGUGUUGCCUUUGGAGAUGGAAUGUCAGCAUCAUCUGAGAGUAGAAACGAAUAGUCCCGAUUAUCCUUAAGUGCCUCGGCCUUCUUUUUUGCCUGUGAAUUGUAGCUGCUAUUUUGUGACUACAGUGACCAAAAUUUACUAUAGAAAACAAAUGAAAAAUGCAGCAAAGAUAUAUCCUUUGUACCUCAUUAAUAAAAUUCUGUUUCUGGUGAAAUCCAUUUGUUUUAGCUUGCACUUUUGAAGAUGAUGAUGGGAUGUCCUUCUACAUACAUGUAUUGACUAGAAUCAGUAAGUAUUGGAUCAGACCAAGAAUAAUCAGGAUCGGUGUAGUGCCACAUACUCCGGGAGGUCUUCGCUCUCUGGGCACUGUGUUCUGUAGCUCUUUCAUUGACUUCCUUUCUUCAAUCACUCGCUUUGAUAUCACUGGCUUGGAUGGCCCAAAGAAGGAGCCAAAACUAGACAAGUGACAUACAUAAUGAAGGAGAGCACACCCAUCUCAGUAAAUACCACAGCAGCACCAAAUAAAGUAAAAGAAAUGAAUGGGUAGUAGAGAAAAAAAAGUAGGACGAAAGAAAGCAGCAUGGAGUGUAAAAACGAACACUAGUGCAUUAGAAGAAAACACCCUUAUAGUGUUGGAAGAUUUGUGCACAUGGAACAUACGGAAAACCGUUCCCUAUUUUCCUGCAACCACAGUAAAAUCUAUUCCCCAUAACGACACUAAAAUCAGUAUUGCAAGUGGACAACAAUAUUUCAAGAAAGGAUAUCAUGCCAAUGUGUUGACUAUGAUAACGUUCCCAGUUUCAAAGCAAAAUUGCCAAAAAAACUUAAUAUAUUUCCUCCGUACACACUUAAAAAUCUCACUUUAACACGCUAAAGAUUCUGAUAGAAUGUAAGGAAUCAUUCUAAGACUACCUUAUUCUCACGACUGUACAAGUUCCUGGAGCACAAUCAAACAAAAUGCUCAACAAAGUGUAGAAGAGGCGCAUUGAAAUUCAAGACACUUACUUGGCUGGAGGUCUUCUAUCAUGCGAGAAAGAUGAGCGGCCAGCUGUGCUGGCACCAGCUCCCUGUGCCCGUCGCCUAAUCUGCUCCUUUAAUCGUUCCCUAACCUGAAGGAACUCCUGCUGACCCUCUGGUGGCCCUUCCUCCUCCUCGACCGCUCCUGAACCUUCCUCAUACUCAUCUUCAUCAUAGUAUUCGUCUUCAUACUCAUCCUCCAUUCCCCAACGAUAACCCUUUACAAUGAUGGCAGAAAGAAAAGGCACUGUCAAACAUGAAAGAAGUAAGCCCAUUUUACACCCCUGAACUUAUCAAGAAGUCCAAAAACACCCUGGACUUUAAAACCGGGCAAGAUGCCCCCACUGAACUUUUGAAAACCAUUCAUCCCGACCCCUCCCCCCUGGCAGUUUUGUACCUGGUUUUCAGUGGCGUUGAUUAAUUAGCUAAUUAAUUAUUAAACAGUACAUAAGAGUAAUUACUUAUCUAAGAACAAACAAAGCUAUCCAAUUGGUCAAAACAGUACAUGAACAAACAAAGAAACAAAAAACUCAGACCAAGAAGACAAAAUCAAGAUGAUCAUGCAAAAAAUUAGACAAAUACAUGCAUGCAUCCAGGACCCAAAUUAAGUAGUAGCAGUACUGCACUCAGCUAGAAGAGGCAGAAGAUCUUGCUGUUGUUGCUACCACAACUUGCUGAUACUCUAAGAUAAAAUCAGUAACAAAUUAGUAUACAGGUGACAGUGGCACAUAAUUUUAACUUGCUACACGGAAGAUGAAAUAGUAACAAAUUAAUACUCUAAGAUGAAGGAAUAAAUUAGCCGCAAACAAGCCACUACUGUCUUACUUGAGAUACGGCAGAGCAAAUCAUCACCAAGUUUCAGAAUAAAAUCACUAGACAUAAUUUCUAGCAAUGCUGCUAAUUUCAGAAUAAGACAGAUAGCACAACAGUUCUUACAAAGCAAAUUUCUCAAUAGAUCCAACCAAUACAAGAUUCAUGUCCUGUAAACAGAAGGAGAACAACUGCGCACACCAUAACACAUCAUCGAAGCUAAACUGAAUGAAACCCAUGGUACAACACAAAUAAACUUCUGCACUGUCCAAAACAAGACAAUCCAAAAUCGGCACAUCGAUUAUAAGUUUGGCACUACUACAAAUAUCAACACUAGUUAUCACCAAGAUGUUACUGCUACCGUGAGCAUACAGUGACUGCAUGUACAAAAGAAGGUAUAUUCUAACUAAGCAUAGCAGUGGGGAGCAUAUAGCAUUUCCAGCCAAGAACAUCAAGAAACAGAGAAGGGAGGAAGAAUAAAACCGGAUCGAAAUGCUUACCUUGCAAGAAGUCGAACUGAAGAGACAGUGGAGGAUGCCGUAGAUAGCCAAGAAAUAAGCAGAUCCGUCCCUUCCUCUGCAUAGCAGAUACAUAACGGACCAAAAAAACAGAUCAAGAAAGGCCAAGAAAACAGAUCAAGAACAGAAACGGACCAAGAAUGGAGAUGAGGAGCUUACCCCGCGUCGUGAGGUCGCCUUGCGUCGUCGCCGGCCGCCUUGGGUCACCGCCGCCGCCGGUGGCCUUCGACAGACGAGAGGAGAGAGCGGGCGGCUAGGGUUCGGGGUCGGGAGGAGAGAGCGGCGCGAGUGGGGAAAUAUGGCUAGGGUUCGGAAGAGCGGCGAGCAGAGACGUACCGCGCUUCGCUGCGGCGUUCGGUAUGGGUGGGGAGGCUGGUGGCCAGCGAAGGGAUGGAAAAGGAGGGGGCGGCAGGCGGCAGCCGGCAGCCACCGGAGAGAUGAGGGAGGGGCGGCGCCGGCGCUGACCUAACGCUGGGAGCGAGCGAAUGCAAGGGGGAGGGAGGGGAUCGGGGUUGGCUGAGGUCGGGACUCGGGGUCAGGGGCGAGAUUCUGGUUCUUUUUUUUUUUUUCGGGAUGGAGGUCCCUCGGAGAGCCGCCAAAGCCCUCAAUCCCACGGCUCCGCACGCAUAGGUGCCAACGGGCCGGCCUGGGCUCGUUAAGGCUCGGCUGGAACUGAGAAAAGGCCAUGUAGCAUAAGGCCCAACUAGGGAAAAAAAUUAAAAAAGAGGUGAAAACGCCAAAAUUGGAAAGACAAUGGGCCAAACUGUUGGGCUAGACCAGAUUUUUGGGAUUUAGUGACACAAAUAUUGGAAAAGAAAAAAAGAAAAAAAAAUCGGGCCGGCCCAGGUGCCUGAGGUUGAGGCCCAGGCUCGGCACAGGCUGUGAUUAAUUCCGUGACGGGCCAGGCGCAGUCAGGCUAAGCCCUCUGGGCUUUCGGGCCUUGCCACAAAGCACGGCCUGUUGGCCUCCUAUACUUCGCGGGGGAGUGCCUACUCCGUUUUUUUCAGUUCCUUCCGCACGCGCGAGGCUUUUUCCUCAUCCCAUCGCCCUCUUGCUGACACUCGCUCCCCUCCCGUCUACCCGUCGGCGGCCCAUCCCGCCGCCUCUCCCCAUGCGUCCUCCCGCUGCUCCUCUCACAUCCCGACGCCGCUGCCACCCGCCUUGGCCCCGGGAUCCAGAGGUGUCGCAGCGCCGCCCCGUCGCCGGCCGUACGGACGUAGCCUCAUGAGCAGUGCGAAAAGUACGGAGUACAUACCAACCAAAUGCAAUGCAUGCAUGGCGCCGGCCCUGCGUACGUACACCUGGCCGGCCGUAGGAACGUAUAGCCUCGUGCGUUAAUUGCAUUCAUGCACCGACCCACGUCUAUACAAAUCAACCACGCCAGACACACGUGCGGCAUGGCGGCCAGAUCAACCACGCCAGACACACGUGCGGCAUGCACCGGCCGCUGGCCGCCAUGCCUGCAUGCAUGCAUACGUGGUGUGCCUGCCAACCAGGCCAGCUGGGGUGCCAGCGCGCGCGUGAAGGCUGGACCUUUGUUCGAGCUAGACUCCGGUAUUUGGUGGAUCCGGCCGGCGCCGCGCGCGGACCGCCUUGGUGUCGACCCGAUCGAUCGAGCCCAUGCAUGCAGAGAUCGACUACGUUGUGUUCGUGUACGUAACCCCCACAAUGAAGCUAGCUGGUGCUGGCUACGUACUGGCUAGCUAGCUAUAGAUCUCGAUCGCUUUGGCACAUCGUCACAUCGACAACACAUGGCAUGCACGGUCACGGAGGAGCCAACGUAACUCUCUCUGCUCGACCGAGAGGCGUGUGCGUGAGUGCACGUCUGACCGUUUAAACCCAUCAUGCAUGCAACCCCACACUUGGCUCGCGUACGUACGUACGUUACGUGAUCAACCCCAUCCCCGUGCCCGUGCGUGCAUGGGGUGCAUGGAUUACGUGCAUUCUGUCUCGAACAAACAAAGGAAUAAUUUUCAAAACAUUUUGCAUGCAUGCGCCGGCAUAUACACAUGGUACGUACGUAUAUAUACACGCGAGCCGGCCGUACGUGCAGUGGGGUGUGCGACAUACAUGCAUGCAUGGUUGCAUGCCCGGGGGGUCGACAGCGAGCGGGCGCCGGACCUCUGUUCGAGUUUGACUCCGGUAUUUGGCGUGGAUCCACGUUUCCAGCCAAUAAUGCGAAGGCCGCCGGUAUAUUCGACGUACGGAUGCGGGUACGUGUCGACCGCUUCGUUUCCGGGCCCCUCCUCCGCCUUCGAUCGGUUGGCGCAUCGUCCCAUUGACACCACACGGCACAAUCAAGAUCCGCGCGCGUCUUCUGGUUCAUCUGAGACCUUCGUUUAAUCCCAUGCAUGCAGGAUAUCGUGAGUAUCCAAUUAGCUAGCUAGAUUAAUUUGCCCUGCACAAGUUAAGGCAUUUUCAUCAACCAAUAGGAGUAGAUGUUUUUUUUCUGUCUAGCUAGCAUGCAAUAGCCUAGCACUACUACAGAAAGAUUUAUCAGUAACGGUCGAAAAACAUCAUCAGUAACGGUCGGGGCCGCCGUUACUAACUUCGUGUUACUGAUGAUACCCAUCAGUAACGGUCGCCACGACCGUUACUGAUGUAUAUAUACAUCAGUGGCGGUCGCUCCUGCCCAACCGUUACUGAUGUAUAUAUAUCAUCAGUAACGGUCGCGUUUUCACAACAGUGUCGGUCGAGCGACCAACACUGAUACAUUUUCGGUAUUUAAAAAAAUAAUUAAAACCACAGAAAAUACACAGAAUAAUAUAUAUACAGCACAGAAAAAUGUAUCUCAUCACAGAAAAAUACAUAUAAAGCCGCAUCACAUCACAACACAUCACAUCACAUCAUUUAAAGCAUACAAUGUAUAUAAGCCGCAUCAUUUAAAGCAUAUAAAGAUUACAAAUGUAUCUCACUUCACGACAUUGAUUACAAAGUUUCAAAAUUUCAUAAAAGCAUAAUUACAAAGUGUCAAAAUUUCAUGAAAGCAUAUAAAGAAUACAAAUGUAUCUCAUUUCAAGCUUGAAUCUCUUGUCGUGGGUGAACCCAAGACACGACUUGUUCCACACGUUCGAAGAAGUCUCCACUAGGCUUGAUGACCUCAUUGUUUAUGAGAUGGACGAACUCCCUUUGAAUGUUAUAGACGACCCAUUUAGGUCGGUGUCACAUUGUCAUUCGGGGCCGUCAGUACUCUUACAUCGCCGCGACUGACCCCUUCCACUCUGGCUUGAACAUGCUGGCAUUCUUCAUAAGGACGUGACAGCCGUAGUAGCCAUAGAACACACUGUCGGGCGGCUGUUGCUGGCAAAGGAACCUGUGGUUGUGGUGAGACUCGUCUUUAUAACCUUUACCAGCUAGUUUUUCCUUGGUCACCAUUUUCCAGGCAGUGUUAAUGAGUGAUUUGAUGGGUUUUCAGAACCUACCUCGAACACACUUCUUCGGAAGUAGUGAAUCGAAGUAGUACACCGCGGACCAAGGCAAACAAAUGAGUAGUGUCACCCAAUGGUCUCUGUUUUCAAAAGAAACAAAUUUUACAUCUAAGAGUGUAUAAGAAAGACUGAAUUAGAAAAAACAAACGGUUCCAUAUAUAAAAUUGAACUUACUCCAAAUUAAGAGGUUGAUAUCAAACUUUUGGCGGUGUAAGAGGUGGAACAGUUCGUUGAACUCCACACCAAAGGUGAUAAGACGUUCCUGAAUCUUCCCGGUUUCUUGGUCAAAGAAGCCAUAGUCUUUUGGGAUUCUAACAUUGAUCUGUUGGGCAUGCCGUUGAGAACCAGCUGAUUCUUGCAUGUAGAACUGAUGAAGCUAUUGCAUCUCUCUGGACACGGCACGCAGGGAAUCUUCGGUGACCAUCGGUCUUCCAGGAUAGUAAAGAAGCACCCGGUCGAACUCCCUAGCCACGAAAUAGGAUCCGUCUUCGAAUCUCUGGCCUUAAUUUGGGUUCUUGAUGAGAAUGUCAGGCCUAUUGUCCUCCCAGACUCCAGUUAUGUCUGGCACGUGGUGCAUCUCAUCUUAAGUGACAUUGGAGAACUCCUUGAUGGUCUUGCCGCCGCACCCCCUCUUUUUAUGCCUCCUCUUACUGUCCCAUGCCUUCUGCUCCUCUGCCUUGUACUUGCCAUCGAUCUUGCGGCCAUCCAUGGACUCAGCGGCACCCAAGAGAGAGAAGGUGGUAGGGACGCUUCCAUCCUGUGCUGACCCUGUGGUCUCGCUAUCUUUGAGCUGUGCAGGCAUCGACAUUGCCCGCUCUUCAUCUCCGCCGGCAUCGACGGGAGGAAGUAUCCUAGGGGAAAGGCCGAGCGGCGAAUGAGAAGUACCUUUGUGGACGGAGGGAGAUGGAGUCAUAGAGGGCCGGCGCUGGUUGUAGAGAGAUACCAAGGUCCUAGGCCACAUAAUGCGGUAGUUUGGACAAUCGCCUAGGAUAUCCACACCUUCCUUUGGAGGUAGCGGGAUAGUAUAAUCCCAAUGCUCCUCAACGACGGAGUCCACCAUCACACUCACUUGUGCGUCGUUCAUGAGAAUGCCGUGCACCAGUGGCGGUGAUUGUCUGGGCAUCAGACGGCCAAUGACGCCUACAGGCUUCCUAGGCUUGUCAACGUGGAUACGACACUUCACCGGUGCCUGCGCGUAACAAGAAGAAGGCAUAUGUGUGUAAGAUCUUUAUUCAUGAAGGUUAGGAGUGAAAAAGAGUUUGAAAAGAUUGCUUACAAGGAUGUUGUCGCUCAGACCCGGAUCGUUAUCCCGGAUGCCCUCGCUUGGGGAAGGUUGGCUAGCGGGGGGGUUGUCCAUGCUACGAGCCGGGCUGUAACCAGGGGUGUAGGUGUCUUCGUCCUCCAUACGUUUGUCGGAGGCGGCGCUGCUCUUCAGCGGGGUGCUCUUUCGCGGGGGAAGAGGAGGAAGAGGAGGAAGGAGGUUCCUCAAACCUUCCACUCCUCCCCCGAUUAUGGCGUCAAGGGCGGGGUGGUCUUUGGCCAAUGCCGACACCAAAUGAUGGACGGCUUGCACUGCAUAUUCCCGCGACACCUCUUGAGACACGAUAGAUGCCUGCUCUCGCGCCUCCGCCUUAGCUUGUUCUAUUAUCUCAGAAGAAGCGGGGAGCUUUUUCUGGACCCUGCUUCGCUUCGGAGUAGGCGGGAAAUAAUCAUCCCAGCAGGCCCCUUCGCCUUCUCCUAGAACACGGCCCGUGUACUCCGCCUUUUGCAAGCCGGCAGUCACAGCCGACUCCCACCUCUUGCUCUGCACGGAGUUGUCGGAGGUUUCUGACAUCUUGCUCUCCUCCCAUUUGUGGGCAUUUGCCUGUUAUCAUAUAAGACAGGACGUGAGUCUAUAUGGAUCAGGAGUGUCAUAAUUAAAGCCGAAAACAACUAAAUGCACAUGAACCCUUACCGUAAAAAUUUGAACAGGCGGCUGCAUUGGCUCAAUGCCCGCCCACUCCUCGGGUGUCAUGUGCGGACGUGCAUAUUCUCUAGCACGUUGGUCCUCCAACAUGUCAUGCACUGGAGGCACCCUGCCUGCCGCCUCGAGAAUUCAGUACUGUUUGCGCCAGACCUUCUUCUUCCCCUCUUUCCCAGCACUCCCUAGCCUGUGGUUCAAGGGCUUCCUUGCGCGCAACGCUCUCAUGCGUUCACUCUUCGCAAUGAAGGCAGGGUCAUAUGAUUCCUUCUUGAAUUUUUCCCAUUCGGCCUCAUCAGUUACCGACGGCCAUUUCUUCUUGAUGAUCUCGUAGGGUUUGUCCAUCCACUUUCUAGCGGUGGUUUUCCAAUUAGCAAGUCCAUUGCGGACUGCUAUGUUGACGGCCGUUAAAAAUCGCUCGCGCCACUCGUCAGUGACUUGUAACCUCCUUGCAACGUCCGCGAUGCACGUGUUUCUAACGACUUCGGAGAUGUCACUCCACUCGUCGGUGAUCUUGCAAUACUUACGUGCAACGGCUCCACAGGUCGUUGCGAAGGCCUUUUGUGCCCUCUCAGGCGACUCCGGGCAGCCCCUCUUAGAGUGCCGGGUGACCACGUGACAGAACUCCUUCAAGUUGUUGUUGGGGAACGCGGUAUGCUACGCUAGCACAAAAUAAAAUUUUCUACCGCUUCCGCCCGGAUCAAUGCUGUAGAUAAUGGAUCACGAGAUUACCACUAGACGCGCAGACCCGUAGCGGAAGUAGAGUCGAUGUAGCGCGUCGAUGCCGAGUAGUCGAACAGCCUGCUCCUCCUCGCCGAUCCCACGAACAGUUCGUCCAAGCGCCGCAGGUGCAGCGCCUCCGAGGUAUCCACACGUACAGGGAGGAACUCCGUGCGGCGGACUGCUAGAUCCGAUCGCAAGGCUUUGGGCGUGGAGGUGCGACGGCCGAGUCUAACUCGCGUCUGAACUGGGGUUCACCCUAGACGGGUUGGUCUCCUCCACUUAUAUAGACGUCCCUAGUGGGCUCAACACUUGAGGCCCAUUAGGAGUCCAAGCCCGAUACGAGUUGGAUCCGAUCCAACUCGGUUCCUACCCCUUAAGCGUGUGACCCUUCAGGUUCGCGGUCAGUCGGCCACGACUACAAGCUCGGACCGCGGGCCCGAGUAACACCUUACUCGUCCACUGGCACCGACUCAAGUCGAUAGUUGGUAGCGGCGCCUAGCAGCACGUGCCAACUCCCGAGUAACCACAAGGUAUAUUGACGAACCAUACAAUGUGUCAUAUGCAACAUUCCUUUUGCCUCGCGAUAUGUGUGUCGAGCUCAAGGCGAGUGCGUGUCAUCCUUGUGGAUAGCUCGAGUCUCUUCUCGUUCCUGUGAUACAGAUUCCCGAACGGGUUAACACUUAACCCAAGUCACAUGGCCAUGCUUUCCGAAUCUGAUCACUCGAGAGGGCCCAGAGAUAUCUCUCCGAACAGGAGGGGCAAAUCCCAUCUUGAUCAACCAUGACUCGCAGCAUGCUUCUCAGCAAACCCGAAAACUACCUUUAUAACCACCCAGUUACGGAGUAGCGUUUGGCAACCCCUAAGUAGGCCGAUUCACAUCCCAAGCUCAUACGAUGACCUCAGGUCUAGGACUGGCAUAUACAUCGUACUUGAGACUAACAAAUGACAAUCAUCUCGUUGUGUCUCAGUGCGGGUCUGUCCGACUCAACAAUCUCAUUUUCGAGUCCAUGCUAUCAGUCGGCAACACCUUGCCCUAUGACUUGUGAAACAUAGUCAUCAUACUGAUUCACAUUGCUAGUCUAGAUUAUGUAUCCGCAUAACCUCAAUGACUAGGGACCAUUAGAACAACAUCAUAGAAUACAUAGUCUCACAAACAAAUCACGUAUUUAUUGAUACAUAUCAGUGAUGAUGUUCAAGGACAAUAACAAUAACUCAUGAAUACAUAGGAAAUAACAUCAUCACAUAAUUGCCUCUAGGGCAUAUCUCCAACAGUUGUGGCUCCCCCUCGGCGUCUUCUUCCUUUGCUUCUUACCGGGAGUUUCAGAACUGUCUUCCACCCGUCGCUCGUUGUCGCGCUCUUCUGAACGAGAGCUACCUGAGCCAGAGCUGGCAAUUUGCUCUCCCGAUGAAGACUCUUCAUUGACACGAUCUACCUCCUCCCGAUCAAGAACAGGUUUCUGGCUACUCUUGCCCAUUUCGAACUAUGCCAUCAAAACCAUCAAAUAUAUAUCGGCCGAAAAUUUCGGCAUGAUCUAUGCUAAAAAACUAGAAAUUUUUCUCUACUAAUAGCUCAAAACCUGCAUAAAAAACCCACCCGCAUAUGUACCCCCUCGGCACGAUGGCCGGCCCCUUCUCCAAUGACCCGACACGAUGGUCGGGCUCACAAUUCAUUACUCAAUUCUCCAAAAUAGCAUAUAAAACAUCAUGUAUAUAGCAUAUAAAAAACUACAAUGCAUAUACUCAUGUGUGCUAUAUAUUAUCAAAUGCAUAUAUUCAUGUGUGCUAUAUAUAAAAAAUUACAAUGGAAAUGUACUAACCCUAAAUUAACCCUACAAUAUACUAACCCUAUAUCAAAUUCACAAUAUGUGUGCCCAUCUAACUCAAUUAUCCACUACUACAAACUACAAUGCUAAUCCUAAAUUAACAUGCUUCUUUUCCUAAAUCCUAACUUUAAAUUAACAGCAACAAAUCCUAACCCUAAAUUAACUGGAACAAGUCCUAACCCUAACCCUAAAUGAAGCUAAAUCAGAGGAGAGGGAGGGAGGCAGAGGAGAAGGAGGCAGAGGAGGUAGAGAAGGCGUGCACCUGUCGCUCGGGGAGGACAGAGACGGCGCGGGCUCGGUGAGGAGGGAGACGGCGGCGCUCAGGGAGGAGGGAGAAGGCGGCGCGGGGUGGCAGCGGUCGGGGUGGCGACGGUCAGGGUCGACGGGCAAGGGGUCGAUGGCGAGGACGAGGCUCGGGCUCGGGGACGACGGUGCUCGACGCGGGGCAGCGGGCUCGGGGUCGACGGUGGCGGCGGCGAAAAAAUCCGGCAGCGCUUCGCUCUUCUAGGGUUAAUCGCCCACUGUUGGUCGCUCCUUGUGUUGAGGACGCGCGGGCGGAAUAACCCUAGAUUUCACUAAGUGUUCCUUUAUAUACCCCAUGCACAAGAGUAACGGGCGGAUAAGGGAGGCGACUGUUACUGAUGAUCCUUCGAUCAUCAGUAACGGUCGCGCUAGAAAGCACCCGCCACUGAUGUUCACCGAAGUGCAAUGCCCAUCUACUCAUCAGUAACGGGCGCGUAGAAGCCUGACCGUUACUGAUGAGUAUAGGCACUCAUCAGUAACGGACGCAUAGCAGCCUGGCCGUUACUGAUGAGUAUAGGACAUGGACUCCAUUUCUCUAGUAUUUGUACAUCAUGGAAUUCAUGUAUUUAAAGUUUGAUGAAUAAAUUCAUGCAUUUCUCUAGUAUUUUUGCUAAAUUAAAUUCAAAAAAUUCAUCACAUGCAUACACAAAAAUUCAUCACAUAAUUUCACUUAGUACAAAGUUUGCAUUAAUAUUCAGUACGAGUACAUUUUUACAAUGUGACUACUAGUGCUUCUUCUUCCUUCGGUAAGUCAUAACUUGACUCCUCGCAGAACUGCUUCUGAGGUAGGGUUUUGUGGUAUUUUCUCGCUCCCAUCACUUCUUCUUUUCCCUCUCCUUUUCCUCGUUAAUAUCGUGCGUUCCGCUUUUUCAUCAUCUGCGGCGAUCGUCGGAUCAUGGAAACCUUCGUAGUCUUCUUGUGAAGUAACUCCGUCCACUCCAACAAUGCUUCUUUUCCCUCUUCUUACUAUGACGCGGCCUUUAUUUGCCGGGUCAUCUAUGUAAAAACCUGCUUGAAUUGUUUAGCAAAGACCCAUGGUUCCUCUCUUGCCAGGAUUUUUCUCACGUCGACUUGUUCACGAGGGAUCUCAGGUGGUAGCACCAUCGUCGUGAACUUGUGACUUUCUUCUUUGCCACCUUUGGUCCAUCUUACACGGAACAUUGGGAUCUUUGUGAUCGAGUACUCCAAUUCCCAGAUCUCCUCGAUAACGCCGAAGAACGCUUUGGUUUUGCUGUUGUCGUCGGUCGCGGUCUCAGAAGUCAUGACUACACCACUAUUUUGAUACGUGCUUUUACGGUCCUGAGACACGGUGUAGAAGUUAUAGCCGUUGAUCGCAUAUGAUUGCCAAGUAGAGACGUGAUAAGUAGGUUCCCGUGUCAAGCAUGCAACCGUUUCUUCUGAUACAUUGGUCAUCUCCCUGCCGUACCAAUAAUUCUUCAGCCACCUUUCGAAUGUUUUAUUGUGCUCCCAAUGGAUCAAGACUUCUGCUCUUUUAAGGUUUUCAUUUUGCAGUUGUUCCAUGUGCAUUUUCUGAUAAGGCCGGCAGCAAUCGGCAGUUUGCAACACAACCAAAUGUGCUCUUUCAAAGUCAGCUUCCCUUCCUCUUCCAUAGACAUUAAGGUAUGUAUGUCCAAGGCCACCUUCGCCAUCGAGCUUGCCCUUGUGCCGUGAUUCGGGAACACCUAUUGAUUUCUGAUCGGCCAACCAAUCCGUGCAGAACUCGAUGCACUCUUCUGCCCUAAAGCUUUUCACGAUGCUACCUUCCGGACGCGAUCUGUUACGAACGUACCGCUUCUGAACCCUGUUGUAUCGUUCAGGGCCAUACAUGUUAUGCAGGAACGAGGGCCCUAGGGACAAGAUCUCAUCGCAUAUGUGGAUCACUAGAUGGACCAUGGUAUCGAAGAAUGAUGGAGGGAAGAACAUCUCGAGCUUGCACAGAAUCUGUAUCAUAAUAUCCUUCAAUAUUUGGCAUCGUCUAAUGGUGAUUGACUUCUGCGAUAUGCUGUCAAAAAAAUCAGAAAGCUUCAUGAUUGUCUCCCUUACGUGCGGCUCCAUGAUACCUCUGAUUGCGACUGGAAGUAACUGAGUGAGUAUGACAUGGUUGUCGUGAGACUUCAUGCCAGAUAGCUUGUGACUCUUCAUGUCAACUAGAUGCUUGAUGCUCGACGAGUAGUUCGAUGGGACUUUAACGCCCUCCAGACACUGGCACAUCUUAUUCAACUCGUCUUUGUACAGGUUGUAACAUGAAAGACGACACCGCGUGGUCACCGUCAAGAAACCAUUCUUGUCGGCUGCCGACACUUGAUCUUUGCCCCACAACUCUUUCCUGAUAGACAUGAGUUGUAGGUCCUUCCGUGCAUUGGGUCCAUCUUUCGUCUUCUCUGGAUUGUUCAUCAACAACCCCAGCACGUUGUCGCAUACAUUUUUCUCCACGUGCAUUACAUCUAUGCUGUGGCGGCAUUCCAAAUGUGCCUAGUACUCCAGGUCCCAGAAUACGGACCUCCUUUUACACACGACGCCUUCAGGUUCCUUAUAUUUCUUCGCAGAAAUCUUUCCGGGGACAACUUCAAGAUCGUUCACAAUUUCGAGGAUUUGCAUACCAGACUUCUCUUUCGGCGCUGUCCCGUGCUCCAUCUUCCCAUUGAACAUUUCCUUGUCAUCCCUCCAAGGGUCUUUAGCAUCCAACCACUUUCGGUGGCACAUGUAAACAAUUUUGGAUGAAGCGGGCAAGUUCUCCGAUGUCGUGUUUUCCCCGCACUUUGUACGGGCCUUGUAGCCAUGUGUCACCUGGCAUGAAGUAUUUCCAUUCGCGGGGUAGUCAUGCACGCAGGUCAGAAGUGCUGCUCUCAUCGUGAAGUACUCCCUCCUGUUUGCGUCCCAAACCACUCUGCCAGGGUUCCAAAACUGCUUCAGCUCAUCCUUCACUAGCUGCAGAUACACAUUUAGGUCAGCUCCCGGCUGCUUUGUACCCUGUAUGAGCAUGCACAUGUGGAUGUACUUUCUCUUCAUGAUUAACCAUGGAGGAAGGUUGUAAACAAACAAGAUCACUGGCGCUUGUUGUUCAUAAUUCCAAAAAGAUUUAUCCCGUCAGUGCUGAGACCGAGCCUCAGGUUUCUGGGCUCUGCCCCAAAAUCAGGAAAUGUCGUGUCGAAGUUCCUCCACUGAGUCCCAUCGGCAGGGUGUCUUAGGACCCCAGCUUCCUCCACACGGUAGUGCCCGUCAGGAUCGAAUGCAGCCUGCGCCGGAUCGUGAUAGACGAGAUACCUCGCGUCCUUAACGUUCUGCAUCCAACGCUCAACUUGGCCACCUGCCGUAAGAUACCAGACAGUCUUUGCCGGCCUGCCCUUCAUCACUUCUUCCCCAUCGUCUUCGCCAGCUCUGGCGUUUUUCUUCUUGUAUCUCGAUGCACCGCAUAUGUGGCAGCUCUCAUGGUUCUCGUACUCUCCAAUGUAUACCAUGCAGUCGUUUGGACAUGAUGAUGUUUCACACAAUCUAAUUCAAGCGGGCAUGUAAUCUUCUUCGCCUCCUAUGUGUUCUUGGGCAACUUGUUUGGUUGUGAAAAAACCGAAGCAAGGUAACUCAACAAGUUCGUGAAGCCCUUGUCUGCCAGCAUGAUGCUGCCUUCAGCCUCAAAAGUUCGAGCGUCACUUCGAGCACGUGGUUUUUUUUGCCAGCUCCAUCAUACAAGGGUGUAUUUGCGCCCUCCAACAAUUUUUUGAACUGAGCAGACUCUGCUUCAUCUUCGGGGUCCUCCAGCUGCUCCCGUAGGUACGGGUCAUCUAGCAUUUCGGUAAUCCUGUCUCGUGGAGCUCCUUCACCUUCCACAUUAGCCUCCUCAUCGACCCUUGUUUCUUCCUCGGAAUCAUUCGCCAGAUCAUACCGCAGGACAUCAUCAUCUUCGCUACCGCUACCGACAUCAACCACAUCCUCCCCGUGACAAGUCCGGCGAGAAUAAUCUUCCACAAAACCCGAUGCCAUCACGUGCAUCUGAACAUCUUCAGGCUUCAUCAUGCAUGUGUUUCCACAUUUGCGACAUGGACAAUGCAUCAUCAAAAGUCAUUUUUGUUCCAUAUCACCUUUCGCGACUCCAAAAAAGACCGUCCAUUCGGUUAUCCAUUGAGCAUUGAUUCUUUCCUUGGCGUACAUCCAAAAACGGUCUUUCGAUCUACAACACAAUACACAAGAAAACAAACAAAGCAAAAUAGUUGGCAUAAUCAUUGACAAGGGAAUUAAGGUGUUAAUUAACCGGAGCUAACUAAAAAUUUGAAAUUAGAGACAUUCGGAGAGAAAUUGGAGGCCGGCGAGAAAGAUCGAGAGGGAGAGAGAGCUCGCAAGCGACAGGAAAGCUCCGGGCGACGACGAGGAGGCUGCAUUUUGGCCGGCGGCCGCGGAGCUCAAAAAUUUGAAAUUGGGGAACUUCGGAGAGAAAUUGGAGGCCGGCGAGAGAGAUCGGGAGGGAGAGAUAGAUCGGGAGAGAGAUCGGGAGGGAGAGAUAGAUCGGGAGAGAGAGGGAAGCUUCGGGGUCGAGAAUCAGAGCUCGCUGGCCGUCGGAGCUCCAAAAAUGGAGAUCGGCAGCCAUGGCCGCCCGCCAGCCAUGGAGACGGCGCCGCCGACGCGAGGGGGAGAGAGGAGGAAGGGGGAGGGAGGAGGGGCUACCUGGGGGGCUCGCCGGCGGCCAUGGCGUCGUCGGGCAGCGCCUCGCUGUCGCCGGAAGUGAAGGAGCCACAGCUCGUCCGUUACGACGCGCAGCGCGACGAGCUGCGGCUCUGCCCAACGAAUUUAAAUCGCGACGCAUCAGUGGCGAUCGGGAAACGGGCGACCGUUACUGAUAAUCGUGGACACAUCAGUAACGGUCGCGUUGGGUCGACCGUUACUGAUGCGUGGUUCAUCAGUGGCGGUCCCCUUGCGCGACCGCCACUGAUGUACGGCUGGGCGGGGACGGGCAAAGCCCGUUGUGUUCAUCAGUAACGGUCGCGGCCGCGACCGACACUGAUGUUAUUCAUCAGUAACGGUCACGCCGGACCCGUUACUGAUGUGCCGUUGCAUAUAGACCAUUUUGUAGUAGUGUAGAUGUGACUAUGUCGCAGCUGACUCAAUCGCUUGAUUUUUAGUUUAAGCAAAAAACGCUUAAAUCUAAGUUGACACAUCAUGACAUCAAAGCCAUUGAAAUACGGUUUUGCUAUAUCUGAAUUGUCUGAUUUUUAGCUAGAGAUCAGAUGAUUCCUCAACCAUUGGAUAUGUUUUUACGCUUUAACAUUCAGAACGAACGAUGAAAGGAAAAGAGUGGGAUGGCUUCCAAAUAAUAAUUGAACGGUUGUGAUACAUCAACUGAGAUUUCACUAUUUUUCUUAAAAAUUGGGCAACUAAGAUAUAGCCACAUCCAUUGAAAUACGGUCUAUCCGCAGUUGUCCUAUCCUCCCUCUCCCACGUUCUGUCGUUGUAUUAAGAUGUGAUCGUCAAGCAAAUCGACUGUUCGCUGACUAAAAAAUGUACAAGUUUCUUAUACCAAAACCGGCAACGCUUAAUUCUAUCCGAACAACUUAAUUGUCUUUGCACAACUGCACUGGUAUGUUUCUCCUUCUAAUAAACGCGAAGAGACAACACCCGUACGUACGGAUGCAACAGCGACAUCGGUGGACCACGGCACGGACACACCUACACCAGGGAGUAGUUGUGUAUGGGCGCAAUACGUACGGACAGUUUUUGUACGGUAUUUGUAGCUUGCGCGCCACAGGUGAAUGUCACGUUCCCAGGUAGGAGACAUGCACGUCUAUGUAGCUUUUGGGCUGCAGCAACAUCCAUCUCCAUCUCUUUAUGACUUUAUCUACUCGCUCUGGCCACCUCUCUUCAAACGACUUAAAUUUGUCUAAAAAUAAACGUAUCUAUAUACUAAACGGUUUUGCUAUUGAUAAGUCGCGAUCAAUUGACAUGUGAGCCAUCGGAUCGUAAUCCAAUAUAUAAUACUUCCUCCGUUUCAUAACUCUUGUCUCAAAUUUGCCUAAAAAUGAAUGUAUCCAUUCCUAAAAAACGUUUAGUUACAUGUAAUAUUUUAACGACUUAGAAAUAGCCACACCAUAUAUACUAAAAUACUUCUAGAUACAUGUAAUAUUUAGGCACUUCACAUUGGACGGAGUAAGUAAUAAUUUUCAAGCGAAAAAUUAAUUGGGCCUAUUUCUAUAUUCACUCGUGUCAUCUCCAACAAGGUACUAGUUAGUACCAGUACUAAAAAAUUUCUCUCCUUUUUUCAAUGUGUUUCAAUUUUUUUCUUAUUUAUUUCUUUUUUUGAUAGACCCACGUGUCAUCUUCUUUGUUGUCUUGAUAUCCGUGUAGUACAUGUUAUUUUUCAAACGACCAUUAUUUGGUUGUGUCAUUCUUCUCUCAUUUACAUUGACCACUAAUUUUCUUGGUACCUGUGUAGUAUCUCUUGUGGGAUGCCUUUUGCAACCUUGGGUCAGCCAGCCAUGCGUGAUUCCAGCAAGGCCGAUACACGCACGGCCUACCAAGACAUGGAUUGGGAACCUACGAUGAGCUUUAGCCUUUAGCCCAUGCUAUAUGGAUAAUUGAUUUUGGUUCUCAUGGAUCGAGCAGCGGAGACUUAUUAACGCAAGGCUUUGCCAAAAAUCAAGCUCAUCGUUGAUAGUAUGAUCUUGUAGCCUGAACUAAAAUAAUGUAUUUGUAAAAUGAAAAAAAGGUCGUAAGGAAGAAUAAAAUGGUUUCCUAUGCUGCUAUGUGCUAUCGACGGAUGCGUCGUCUAAUCGUUGCUAUGGACCAUACAGAUGCGGCAUGACAUCUCGACAUCCAUCUGGAGUUAAAUUCCAGUCCUCUGUUAUAUAGUAAAAGCAAUAUGAAGAGUAUUGAGGAGAGGUUUCACGUUGAUUCACGUCACCUCAAUUAGUUUGACCGUUGGAUAGAAGAUCCGAGGAUCAUAAAUUGUUUGUCCAAACAUAUGUUACGUUGCUAAAUCCUCUAGAGUCCCACACGAUUUCCGUUAAAAAAAUAUGUCACAUUAAAACAUGUCACGUUAUCGCACUAAAUCCCGCCCCUCACGAUUUCCAUUAAAAACAAAGAACCGGACUCUUGGUUUUAUACGCGCUUUGCACGGACGGUACAGAAGAUCGAUUAACAGCAGAGCAAUUAAAACUUCCUUUCAAAAAAAAAAAUUAACACGUACGAUAAAUUCUCGGCAGAUCUAACACCAGUUCCCACCAGUCCAUAUCUUUCUAUGCGCGUUCAACAGCAGUAUCUGUCAAUCUAUUAUGUUAUCUAUUUUUAUCUAGGAAACCAUGCCGCGGCACGACGAUGCGCGCACGACGCCCAGCUGAGCAGCUCCUGUUGUGCUUGCAAUGCAGUCUUACGCAAGAAAAAAAAGAGAGGAUGCAUGCAUCUCUAGGUCCAGUGCAGCACCAUGCAGACGGCGUCGCGCACGGAGGCAAACUAGCUGAACUGCGAGCGUUAGUUCUGUUUUAUCUAUUCUAUCGUUACUCCUUCGAUUUGAGUGUCACUGAAUUUGUACAAAAUACUAAAUUAACAACACUUAUUAUGGAUCGGAAUAAGUAAAUAUAAAAAGCAAUAUGAGCAGCACCGAGGAGAGGCACCGCACUCAUCCACCUCAUCCUAAUUAUCUGGUCCGUUAGAACUGAUAUUCGAUGGUUAACAUUUAGGGAGUAGGAUAUAUCUAAUGGGUUGGACAAAACAUCAUUCAAGGCCCACAUAGGCCUAAUAUUCCAUAUAAGCCAAAAGUCUAUUUGUAUUGUGCCAAACGUAACAUACUACGUUCUACGACAAAUAUGUAUGAUAUCACAACUUUUUUUCAUUAUUUUUUGUAAUGGAUCGCGAGAAUAUUAAGUAGUAAACUAUUCAUUAUCUUUUAUCUAUAUUAUGAAAGCACGAGGAGGGCUAUGAGGGGAGGCACCAUGCUGAUCCACAUAAUCUAAAUUAUUUUAACCGUUAAAUCUCAUAUUUGAUGACUACGAUUUAAUUAGGUGGAUAUAUCUGAUGGGUCAAAGACUAAACAUCAAAGUGAUUUGAGACCAACAUAGGCCCAAUAUGCUAGAUAGGCCAAAUAGUUCUUUACAUGAUUCCAAACGCACAAAUGACCAAUCAGUUUGAUUUGCAUCAUCUGAAUUGUUUAAACCGUUAUAUAAUAAAGCACAGUAUAGGGCACUAGCGUUGAUCCACAUAAUCUGAAUUAUUGAAACUAUUAGAUCUUGAUUUGUAUGGUGUCAAAAACAAUAUGCAAAGACCGUUGCACGAUCAAUAUGUUAAGACCUCUCAACUUUAUUUCCCUUAUAUGUCUUCUGAAUCAUGAGAAUAUUAGGUAGUAAACCUAGCUCCAUUCAUCAUAAUCUAUAUUUAUGCAAGAGGAUUAAUUAUCAACGAGCGUUUAAAGAAUUAAAAAAACAUUUUUUAGGAUUACGAGAAUAUGAAGUAGUAACCUCCUCUCAAUCCGUCAUAAUCAAUAUUUAUGAAAGGAUUAUUUAUUAACAAGCAUUUAAAGAAUUAUAAUUGUACAUCCUAACACGUAAACAGAACAUAUUGCAUUAAUGAUUAAAAAAAGUUACGACCAUGGGCAGAUCCACCUUGGGGGCACCAUGGACACGUGCCCAGGUUUCUGGGUUGUGUAUCCAAAAGGGAAGCAACGACUCUAAUGGUGUCACGUGGCAGAAUUGUGAAGCUUAAGCCCGAGCACAUAGGCUAUAGACUUAGGCUAGCUCCACCAAUGGUUAUGACAUGACCAUUUUUUCAAUGUUUUCGACAGAUAAGAGAAUAUAAAGUAGUAAGCUCACCUCUAUUCAUUAUAAUCUACGUCUAUAUUUUUGCAAAGGUGAGUUAUUAACGGUCAUUUAAAGAAUUACAACUCUACAUGCUAACAUGUGAUCCUAAAGUUAACUAUGGAUACUAAUUAACAUCAUAUAUGAGCGACUAACUAGAUAUCGAAUAAAAAACAAUUACUAAUCAAAUAUCACUACAAAGCCAAAAGGCAAAUGACUAGCUCACGAUCUAAACUUUGAUCAAGUAUAGAUAAAAUAAUCAUGUAAAAGACCUCACAUAAGGAUUUAUUAUUAAAAAAAUCUACUUAUAUAGCUUGGCAUACACACAACACGUCAGUGCAAACAAGUGAUUGACUAAUCCAGCUUGUGAAGUUUAAACUUUUGUAAAUAAUAAUAUACACAAUCAGUCGUCUCAUGAUCAGUCAUCUCAGGUGCGACCAUCAUCUCACAACAAUCAAUUAGUUUAACGCACACAUUGAUCAACCAAUCAGGCUCACAUUGUAAACUUAAAAUUGUGAAUUACGAUCUAAAGCCACAUAAAAAUAAAACGUUGCGUCAUAUUCAAAACACAAUAAUUUCAUACUUCUAAGAGUAGUGUGAUUAGUUAAAUGUGCUUUCCUAGAUGUAGGUUUUGUUAGUUGAUCUGCCUUUAUAGCUAUUGUUGUUGUUCUCGACAACAAUUAGAGUAAGGGGUGCCAAUGCUCGAUGGCACAAGUGCGGGUGUAAAUGUAGGGCGUGUACGCCGGCCUUAUAGCGAAGGUUGUCGUACACUUGGACAAGUUGACACGUCAAUAUUUUUUGAAUAUGUUCGGUCGACCCUGCAGGUGCGACUUAAUCCUAUGUUAGGAAAAGCUUCGAGGGGGUUGUUAGCCGAGGGUUUGGGCCGAGCGGAUCUUCCCAAGACACCUUUAGGCGAGAGGUCCGUCGGGGCCGCUCGUACUUGGACCGAACGCGUAUUUCCAAGUAUCGAGGUUAGGAUUCCCUCGGAACUCUAACCCAACCCCUUCUCCUUCGAGUCCGGGCCGAACGCGUCUUCCCGGAUCUCGAAACUAGAGCUCUUUGCAAGAGACUCUAGCCCUCUCCCUUGAGUUUAUUCAAGUGAGAGUGAAUGAUACAUGCCCUCAUGUGGGGUAUUUAAAGCCUAGGGGUCCAUGACAAAUGACCAUGGCUACCCUUGAGGGAGAGAGAAAAGUGGAGGCAAAAGGAUAAAAGUAGGUCCUUUGGUCCAUAGCUUUUGUGUGCACCAUGAGAGAAAAGUAGGGUUUGGUCCAUGGUCCACCAUGGACCAAGGGCCCUCCUCUCACUUUUCUUGCUCCCCACUCUAACUCAUUUGACCCCUUGACCAUGGCAUGAGAGGCUUGACUUGUUGACUAGUUUUCCUCUGCCACGUAGGAUUGACCGCGCCACGUAGGUGUCUUUGACUCGUGCUUGCGGAAUGUUGACUUGGUCGCCAUCACAUAGGAUUUACGGCUCGGCCCAUAUAAGGGUUUAUUUUACUACUAUUCUUCAAAUUUUAUUUGAGUGUAUAUGUGUAGUGAGGUUUAUUAAUUUUGCAUUUCGAAAAAAUCAAUCGUGAACAUGGUUCGUGAAGGAACUUUUAAUUUCCUAUUUUCAUACUGGUCUAAUAGCACAUACCAGUGACAUGCCUUUGUCAUUUUUUUGUGCUUUAAAAAUAAUACAAAUACAAUAAUAAAUAUCUUUAAUAAAGAUGUUUUGCACGGGACACCUUGCUAGUUCUUUAAUUAAUGCAAAAAAGGGAAAUAUCAGGAAAACAUAGCUUAUGCAUUUUUUUUGUAAAUCCGGUACGCAUAUCCAUUUAACUGGUUUAAGUAACACUAAAGUAACAUAUCUUGGAGGGAAGCGCCGUCGCCGCGUCGUAUAAUUGCCUUAAAAAAAAGAUACUCUUUCCGUUUCAUAAUUUUUAUCUCAAAAUUUGCCCCCAAAAUAAUGUAUUUAUUUAUAAGAAAUGUUUAGAUUCAUGUAAUAUUUCGACAAAAAUUAUUAAACUGAGGGAGUAUCUCUUGUCCGUCGAGCACAUACUGCAUAAGCAUGCACACGCAGGUUGUGUCUCUGGUCUCUUCUGCGGUCAUUUGCAGUUUCGCGCUAAACUGACUAACGAACACUUCAAAGUUUAAAAAAAUAAAAAAAAAAAUAGCGAGAGCACCUGGUUGCGGGCUUGCUGCAGGAGCUCAAAGUUAAAUUGAUGCUCCUGUCGCCUAUAUAUACGAGCCAGUAGCUCCUUCAUCACAGCAUCAAGAUCACCACCACAAGUGCAUCUGUGCAAAGCGUGAAAAACAGAGCAAAACAUCCUCUGCCUCAGCCCGCGAAGCCAGCUCCUCUCCCCUGUUCCUACUCUGUUUCCCUCACUCACUGACUCACUCGAGAGUUCCUAGUGGAACGCGAGGCUUUGCUCGGGACCCGGCCAUGGUGGCGAUCAAGGCGCCGAGCUCCAUCGACCACGCGAACCCGCUGACCAAGUCCCCCAAGGCCGCAGCAGCAGCAGCAGCAGCGAUCCCGACGGUGGACCUGUCGUCCCCGGGCGCGGCGAGGGCCGUGGCGGAUGCCUGCCGCGGCGUGGGCUUCUUCCGGGCCACCAACCACGGCAUCCCCAGCUCGCUCGCCGCAGCGCUCGAGGCCCGCGCCAUGGCCUUCUUCGCGCUCCCGCACGAAGACAAGGUGGACGCCACCAUUGCCGCGGCCGCCCGGAGGCCCUUCGGGUACGGCAGCAGGAGCAUCGGCUCCAACGGCGACGUCGGCUGGCUCGAGUACCUCCUCCUCUCCCUCGGCUCAAACUCAAACUCCAGCUCCAUCCCAGGAGCUUCCUCCCUCCCGCCAUCGCUCCGGGCGGCGCUGGAGGAGUACACGGGAGCGGUGAGGAACGCGAGCGGGAAGGUGCUGGAGCUAAUGGCGGAGGGGCUGGGGAUGCAGGAGAGAUGUGCGCUGAGAAGGAUGGUGGAUGGAAGCGAGGAAGAGCUUGUCAGGGUGAACCAUUACCCGCCGACCAAGGAAGAAGACUGCGUGGCGGGGAUGACGGGGUUCGGGGAGCACACGGACCCGCAGAUCAUCUCCCUGCUCCGGUCCAACCGCACGGCCGGGCUCCAGAUUAAGCUCCAAGGACCCGACGCGCCAUGGGUCAACGUGGCUCCCGACCCGGAUUCCCUCUUCGUCAACGUCGGCGACUGCUUGCAGGUGCUGACGAACGGGCGGUUCAGGAGCGUGAAGCACAGGGUGGUGGCGCCGGAAGGGGCGCAGGCGUCGAGGCUGUCGGUGAUCUACUUCGGCGGGCCGGCGCCGGCGCAGAGGAUCGCGCCGCUGCCGGAGCUGAUGAGGGAGGGCGAGCAGAGCCUCUACAGGGACUUCACCUGGGGGGAGUACAAGGCGGCUGCCUACAAGACCCGCCUCGGCGACAACCGCCUCGGCCCCUACGAGCUGCGCAACGUCGCAGAUACUAAUCCGACGGCUCUGAUCACCGCCUCCAAGGAACCCACAGCCGCCGAUCACUGCUGCAGCAACAGCAGCAGCAGCAGCGCCGCCUGCGUCGUCGUCCAGCCGCCGCACGUAGCACAAGUGCACUAGCUAAGCUAGCUGAUGUCCGGCCGGCGGCUACUGUCGAUCGUUGGUCGGUCGUUUGAUGUGUAAUCCAGAUGUGGUAACUAAAGCUAGCUGUACGUGUGCCUGCCUGCUUUCCCAGCCCAAAAUUGGCAUGCGCCUGCGAAAAUGCCUCUCCCGCAUGCUCUGCUUCGUCCCGGUUUCAGUUUGUCCUUUCUGGGAAAACAUUUGUAACUUCCGCUAGUAGUAGUAGUAGGCUCGUAGCUGCAAGCCUGCAAGUGUGCUGCACCCUUUUGUCACCGGCAGUUUAACAGCUUGAAUCGCACGCUAUAUGCUGCCUGGUGUACUGUAAAUUAACGGCCCUAUUGUUCCGAUUGUCUUUGUGUGUUACUUACUUCUAGAGUACAAGUUAACUGGAGUACUAAGUGACAACGUUGUAAAAAAGCCCCCCUCUUCGCUUCUUUGGGGCCUUUUGUGCCGUAUAAGAAGUUAAGUACUUCAGAGGAAGAAGGAAACAGUUCAGUUUAGAUUCUACACGGUGCCAACCCCCGAUGCAUCAUCAAGACAUCAAGGUUCAGAUCAGACGACAGGGCUCGAGCCGUGCUCGGUAACAGCUCACGUCCGCUUGUUACAACUAGACGAGCCCCGUACGUUGUCGUGGAAAUUUUUAGUUAACAUACGUGAGCCCACGUUGUUGAGAACAUACAUGAAUGAAAAAUAGCAACAAAAGAGUAUUCAGUGAAAUGUAUAAUGGAAUUGUAUGAUAAAUUAUAGAUCAUUCACUUAGUAAAAAUAGCUUGAUGAAAAAUAGCAUGCAUGCAUGUGCAAAAAAUAUGAGUGUUUCACUAAAUAGAUAUGAACAAAUUAAUAGUGUGAUGAUGUGGCAUGCUUGCAUGUUGAGAGAAAUCAAGUAGCAGUAGCAUGUUCUUCUCCUUAGAUAUGGAAGAUUAGUGCUGUGCGUGGUACGGUUCGAGCUGAUCCAAGAGAAACGUGGUAUCUACGGAUCGGAUGUUCGGUUUACAAAAAAAAUCGGAACAACUAAAUCCUAUCCAAUUGAACCAUUGAUUCACCGGUUCGAACCUUCCUGUUCCUCAGGCCGAGGCAGCGAUUGAUCUCUCCAAUUCCUCGAUUUGCUGCUGCUGCCGCCGCCGCCGCUAAGCCCCACCGUGGUCGCCGCCGCCGUCUCCUUCAGUGCAAGUGAUCACAGUUCGCACCGCCUGCAAAUCCGCUCCCUCCCCACCCCCUCAGCGGCUCGCCGCCUUCAAAGCCGAAGCCAAGACGACUCCGCCGCUAAGACCAUCGGCGGCCGCCUCCGCAUCCCACGCCGCCACCGGGUGGAUUCGUCUCCAUCGCGCCGGCGCCCCCAACUCCCCGCCAACCUCCACCAUUACCCUGCUGUCGAUUCAGCGAGAUUGAAGUUUUUCUACCUCCGUCCCAGGCGCGCACUGCAGCCGAGCAGGCGACGAAAAUAACUCCUCCAUUACCCUGCUGUCGGCAACCUUCUUCGAGCUUUGAGCUAUUCGGCUUUUCCGGCCUGCAGCAGAGCAGCCGACGAGAGCCCUCUGGCAAGACGAAGCAUGCUGUUCUUUUCGGUAUGCAGUAUGCGCAGGCAAUUUAGGUUCGAACCAAAAGAUCCAUUGGAUCGUGUGGAUCACGGAUGCUGCUCCAAUGGAUCGAACCUUUUUACUCCCUUGCACCCUAGGUACGUGAAGUUUGGUGCGGUUCAGAGCCGGUACGAGCCACGCCCACCCCUAGUUACAAUCCGUUUUACUAAACCAACUAGUGGAAUGUCCGUGCUUCGUGACGGCUGAUGUUCAACAUAUAAUGGAAACGAAUAUUGAAAAGAAGGUGCAUAUCGUUUGCACGGAAUACAUAUCGGCCAUACCCAAUUGCUAUGAUAACAAAAUUCGACAAUACCAAAACAUUGAAAAACGACGAUAAAUAAUAUGAGAACUCAAGAAUACAGAACUUGGUUCAUACAUAGGAUGCGGUACAAACAGAUCUAUCUAAAGUACCACAUUAAAUAACAUCAAAGAAAGGUAAACUGGAACCAACCUAUAAUAGGGCAAGCUUGUUCAAGUAUAUUACAAUAAAAAUAUGCCUGGAAGGCAAAUUGGAAACAAAGAUCAUGAUUAGUGACAACAAAAACACUUACCACAUCUAUUAGCUGAUGAAAUGGUAGGAGCAAACCUUCACUAACAGCAUACAAGAACGAUGUCGCCAUUCUCUACAGCCUCCCAGAUAUUUUCAAGCCUCUCAUUCCUACAAGGACUUGAGUUGAUAUUAACAACUGGCACAGUUUGGUACCUCUUUUGUACAGUAGGAUAGAAUCACAUAAGGUAGAUUAUAUGUAUCCUGGAGGUUAUGGUAGAUUAAUAUAGACAACUUGUAACAUAUACAUUUUUAUAUUAGUGAUAUACAAGAAAUGGAAGUUGAAGGACUCAGCUACUUAUGGCUAAUGAAUUUGUUCAGGGUUCAGAAGACCGUAACCGGAUGGUUUGAGUUUCCAACGCAUUUGCAGCAUUGCCUUUUUCAAAUUUUAGUAAGCCCCAAAAUUACACCACUGAAAUUAAGCAACCAAACUCAGUAAAGGGAUACGUUCAAAAUGCAGAUAUUACCUUAUUACAUCCAAACAAAACGUAUGAAAUAUCAUGUUUAUGGGAAUUCCUAGAUUAGUGUGAAUAGUCCCAAGAGGAGCAACAAUAUCACCAACAUCCUCCCCGGAAGGCCGAAACAUGGCCCUUAUAGAUUUGGGAUAACACAACAAACCUACAGAUGCAAAGCAUGACAGUGAAACUUUGCUCAUAUGUCAGCUUAUUAGUGCAACCAGAAAACCAUAAUGCUUUUAGAAAAUAUUGGUCACUUGGAAAAAUAAAUAAACACAGAUUCUAGAGUACUAAGUGACAAUGUGUUACCGGUAUUAUGAGCAGCUCUGCAGAAAUCAAAGUUCAGUUCUCACAAACUCAGCUUCAUAUUUCAGUCUAUUUGUUGUUCACCUUUAACCCCACUUCAGGUGGGUUUCAUUCUCAUGCUUCAUGAUAGCAUAAGCAGCAAGUAUACAGUACCUUAGUCUUAAAAAAACAUAUAAUUUUCUUCCCUGUUACAUUGUGUCGUCAGUGGUGUUCCCCAUAUAAUUGACAUAUAUUCUUUGAACAUUCUAAAAGAAAAAAGGGGAUCAAACUUGUUACACACAUGUUCCCCAAAUAAUUGACUUUCUCCUCUAUCAAAAUCUAUUUGACAGAGAGAAUGGGUUAAAAUUCAGAUAUAUUGCCAGACUUACAGUUGUACAUAAUUGAAGUUAAGAACAAAGCAUUUCAAAAAUAAGAAACAAGGGAAUAUGAAACAUAUGAAAUUUGUAAACAAAGAAUGAGCAAAACAACAAAACAUGUGCAUCCAAAACUUAUUUAUUCCUACUUACUACUUACAUGAAUUAUAUUCUGAGUCUUCUGAGUGAGUUCCAGGUACCAAUGAGCCAAAUGGAAUCACGAUCAAAUUCGUUAGCAAGUGAUUGACGAACCGCCUAUGAUUUAUCGAAAUUAUGUCCAAUUAUGCUAUCUCAGAUAAGCAUCAACAUAAAAAUUUCCUACAACAACCUUCAUUUAUAUUAAAAGAUCAUGCAUUUUACUUGACGCUCUUUUACCAAAAUAUUGCAGUAAUCAAGUCAUGACCCAAAGAUUUCCGCACAUUUUACGGACUACAAAAUUAUAAAUCACCACAUGAAUUUAUUUUGUUUCAAAAUACCGCGCCAGAUUGCCAGAAGACCAUGAGUAAGAAAGAAGUGUCUACUCUUGGCAAAAGUCUAAACUACUCCUAAGUGCCCAUCGAUGGAAGGAAAUCUCAAUCAAUACAGGGGCACAUUGAGGAGUAAGACGGAGAGAGGUAUGGAUAGGGUUAGUUACCUUGAGGUGCUGGAUGCCGAACGAGUGGUCCAUGAGGGCCAGGGGAGAGUAUCCGGCGAUGGAGAUCGCCUGCGCAAGGGACGCCGAUGACUGUCAGCAGCAUGGUGCUGCCCCCGCCAAGCGCAGCCUCAACGGUGGCCAACAGGCGGCGGCGGCCAUCGUCUUCAUCAUCCGCCGCUGCUUCAUGUGUGAGGAAGAGGAACGGCGGAGGGCGCCUGCGCAAGGGACGCCGAUGACUGUCGGCAGCAUGGUGCCGCCCCCGCCAAGCGCGGCCUCAACGGUGGCCAACAGGCGGCGACGGCCGUCGUCUUCAUCGUCCGCAAUUGCUUCAUGUGUGAGGAAGAGGAAUGGCGGAGGGCGCCCACGCGGGAGACACUGAUGACGUCGAGCGCCCCGGUGCCGCCCCCGUCGAGCGCGGCCUCGGCGGGGGCCAACUGGCAGUGGAGGCCGCCAUCGUCAUCCGCCGUUGUGUCGUGCGAGAGGAGGGGCGCUGGUGACGAGACGUCUCUGGAGUAGGGGAUGGGAUGGGGACGAUGGCGGAUCUGGAGGGCUAGAAAGGAGGAGGUGGAUCGAGAGAACGGAAAGAACGGGUGCGUGGAGAACGGUGGAACGUGGUGCGGGAGAGAGGAGCUAAUUACGGCCGUGAUUGAUUGUUGGAUUGUUUUUUUUUUAGGGUUCAGAUAGGGAUGGUUUUCUUGGGGUGCGGGGAUCGGACGGGUGGGACGAGUGCGACGGAUGAACGUACGUACCAAACUCGAAAUUAAGUAGUAGUAAAGAUAGGGUGCUAAAUUAGGCAUUUGCAAUGACAGGUGACAGUUCACGUGGGUGCCAUGCUUUCCUUUUCCGUGACAAAUAGUACUCCCUCUGAUUCUAAAUUCUUGACUCAAAUUUGUCAAAAUAUGGAUGUAUCUAUUCUUAAAAAACGUCUACAUACACGUAAUAUUUUGACAAUAAUUUAGUAUUGGAGGGAGUAGUAUGUAUGUAAGGUUCGUGCUAACCUACAUGUUGACCCUACAAGCAAUUUUUUCUUUGAAAGCAUGCCAAAAUGCCAAAUUAGUCCUUAAAAAAAAGCUAGCCAAAUUAAAGCAUCCGGUUUUGUUCCUCAUCGUUCAUUUCCCUCCCUCCCUCCUUCCCUCCCACCCAUGUUGUCGUACAAUUGUUUUUUUUAACGGGUAAGGCUUCUCAUUUCUCAAAUAAUAGUACAAUUGGGUUUACCUGCCAUUUGCUGCCCAGCCACUAAUUGGUGCUUAUCUUCACGCCUUGUCGCCCCCUUGCAAUGGCAUUCAUCGGUUGGUUAAAAAGGGAAAAACAAGUUUGCAGCACCGGUACAUUUGUACAUCCUUUUCUAUCCACGCAACCACGCGAGGCCGGACGACACGUGCUGAUGCGACUGACGGGAAAGCUGGUUUGGACGGAUGAGCAGAGAGAGAGAACCCGCGCUCGAGCCGCACGUCGGUUUCUUCUUGCAGGAUAAACAUUGCACGUACCAAACGAGCAAAAAUAAGGAACCGGGUGCCAUAUAUAUCCACUCGAUCGGCUCGGACUUUGUCGCCGCCGCCGCGGCUGCUGCUCCUGGCGUCCCGCAGACAGAUUCCCACGAGCCUUGGGCUUCAUCACACGGAUGCCUGUUACCACUCGAUCGACCAGCCCAAAUAGUCUAGCCGUCCGGACUUCGCGUGCGUGCUGCUCAUAUAAUUGUUGGUUGCGUGGGGGCAAUUAUUGACGUACGUGUAGGCGCGCGUACUAGGAUUAAUCUAUCGACGACCACCGUCAUUCACGAGGUCCGGUCGCGUUUGCUAUCGAGCCCAGGCUCCUAGCUAGUUCGACCGGAUAAGGCCGUUCCCGAAUCUAGUCUCAGUGGCAGUAGAAGAACAGUAGCAGCAUUCUGGUGUGUUCUCUGCCAUUGCUCAUGGGGAAAUAGCGGUGUGGUUGAUCUGGUGGAUUUUUGUGCGGAACCCGACAAGCAUGCAUAUUAAAUGGCUUAAAUUUGUCAAAUAAAUAUAAAUGCAUCUGAAACCAAAACGGGACGGAGGAAGUACCAGUAGUAUAAAAGAACUGUGCACAUAAUGCAUGGACGAUGAAAUGGCCUCACAUGGCGAUCGACCGCGCGCGCUUAGGGCGCCGGCACACGUAGAAGAGAGCCUCGUGCUCGCGCGCGAGCUGAGCAUAUAGCACGUACGGUCCGAGCGGCGUCCCGGGCGGGGAUCUGCAGCCUAGGCCUGUCCGGGGCGCCGUCGCAUCGGUCGAUCCAUCGAUGGCGGGACACGGGACACACUGCACACAGCACGAACACGUGCGUGCAUGCGCUAGCUGCAUAUGCCAAAUCUGGUCUCGGUUCACGUUGGUACGUACGCGCUCGAUUGAUCGAUCGAUGGACAACUGACGUAUCGAUUCGAUACGUCAGGGAGGGCUACGUACGGAAAGCUAUAGCUAGCGGGGCCGCCAGAAUCGAGCAGGGGCUCGAUCGAUUCAGAUUCGAUUCGAUCUGGGGUCGAGAAAUAUGUGUGUGACUAGCUGCUGCUAUACGCACGUGCAUAAUACUACUGGUAUGCUACACUUCUCGUUAACUAAGAUGAUCUAUCAGCCGGAGGUGGCCCGUUAAAUUGAAGAGAGGGAGAGAGAAACGUUCAAACUGAAAGGAAAAAAUGGUGUAACUAUUUUCAAACAAAGGUAUUAAAUGUCGAUGGACAUGUCAGAGACAUCGGAUCAAGAUCCGAGGGUCAUCCACACUUUCCCCUCCGUAACGUGUUAUCGCUGGAUUAAAAUCUGACGACCAACAGGGGCGGAGUUACAGCGUAGACAUUGGGUUCAGAUGAGGAAUUGGAUCCGAGCCUACACAUAUGAACCCCAUGAUUAUAGUGUAAUGAACCCAGUGGUUUCCUUUUCUGGCUCCACCCGUGACGACCAAUCACGUCGACUUGUCUCUAACUAAAAAAAUACAGACGACUUCUUAAUAGCAAAACAUGAAAAAGGAAUAUAAUGUCUCUGUAAAAUAUAGAAAGACGUGGUUCUCCGUUAAGAUGUUGUGGUUAUUUCUCUUCUGUCAGUUGACCAUUUUUGUCCCCGUCUGAUCCAGCGCCGCUCCGUUACCGUACCAUGUUUUUUCACGUCAUUAUCCGUCCGUAUUCCUUAUUUGUUUUUGCAUUCAUAUCAUGUCCGUGCCGCUUCCAAACCAAUGGAAAUUGUGAAAUAAAAUAUGGUACUAUAUAAAAUCAUUAUCCGGUCCCGUUUUACAUAUAUGCUAUAUUCCUCAAGUAUGUACAUCGAUCGCGGUCUUGUAUGAUUCAAAAACAAAAACGAAAUAUCAGUAGAGAGCAAGCGUACAUGCACACGCAGGAUAUGCUUUCGUUGGUUAAUUCGGUGUACGUACGGACCACCGCGAUGUCUCUGCGCCCGUCGACGUCACACACGCUUACGUGAGUGCGUGCGUACAGUCGGUGAUUAAUCGAUCCGGAAACGUGCCAAUAUAGUCUGCAGCCGCGCCGGCUUUUUAUACUCCCUGCAAUCAAUGCACCCGGCCCUCUCGUUUCGGCCGAAAACUGCAUACCACGCUCGAUCGAAUCAUCCAAGUAUACAGAUACACACAUGCUUCUCGAUGACUCGAUCGAUGGACUUACGGUAUAAUCGUACAGUAGUUGCUUUCGCUUCCAGACGUAGGUACACGGAACGACGAACCGGGAAAAACGGCCCUCCUGCUCCUGGCUUGGAAUCAUUCCACCUCUGGUGGAAAUCCUGGACCACCCGUACGUCCAUAUGCUCCCUUGCGAGUUGCAGACACGUUAUACGUACUCAUGUAAUCGCUCCGUUUCAUAAAAAUUGACACGAUUUUAAAUCAGAACUAAGUUAAAAUCAUGUCAAUCUUCGUGAAACGGAGGAAGUACCUGACAGGAAUGCAUGCAGGGAUCAGGCACUCCAGUUUGGAGUUGGAACGGGGCACACAUGUGGAAAAAGUUUCGAACUAACAAGGUGGCGACUGCGACCAAAGCCAGAACCAUUUUUUGUCGAGCACGAUCGAUCGACCUGCAGCGCCAGAGCCACUAGAGGGCCCAGAUCAGCUUGCCCCGCCCCAAUUCCAUGCGUUCCGGUUGUUUCCUUUCGAGCCCCCUGCCCCAGUUGCCUGCCCUUUUAUCUCUCAGCGAUCAGUUACGUUCAUGCAUUCUUGGCCACACGUACCUACACUACAAUCGGUACUACUACGUACAUGCGAGAUAGCUAUGUCCCGAUCGAGCCUGCAAUUAACGGCAACUCGACCGAUCAAUCUGCAAGUAGAGACAGUAAUCUCGAAUUUGGUUCAAAAGCAGGCAGCGAAUCCUGGAACGACCAAGUUACACGGUACUCCUAUGUAAGCUAGUACUAGUACAACUAGUAGCAUGCCACCGGUGGAUCACUCACCUGGGGAUACAAAACCGUUCUCCUUCGAUUAGAGUCGUCUGCAUUAUUGACAGUUUCGAUGGACCAGGCAGACAGAAGCAAAGCCUGGAUGCGCGCGGGAUCCACUUGUCCAGCAAAAGGGCACGAAUCGGGGAGGUCACAGGACUUAAACAUACGAUAGGCCACGCGAGCCAAAGGCGUGCCGUACUGUGCUGCCCCUGCCUGGCCUGUCGUGUGAUGUGACAGAAAAAAAUUAAAGGGAGCGGCGAACCUGCGUUUCAUGAUCAUUGAUAGAUGGAUGGGUGGAUCGAGCUAGUAUUAAGCUGGUUGUGGUGUGUGUGUGUGGAGGGGGGUCUGUCUUUGAAAAGUCGACGCUGCAUGCGGACGUUCAGUUUCAAGUGGCGUGCAAGAUGUUCCUAGUGAAAAUGUGAAAUCAUGGGGGAAAUAGGCGAAGUUUGCAGGGUUGAACGGCACACCGCGUUUGGCUGACGGCUCUAUGCGCGGAUAUGAUGUUUUCUUUUUAACGAAUAUUCUGAUAUUUUUCAAUACCAAAACCGUAUUCGGAGUUAGCUGGCGUCUGAAUUUUAAACAGAAGACUUAAAUCUCCGGACUCUUGAAUUAAGAUCUAAGUGUCAUCCCCACUCUCUCUUCUCCCGCAUGCUGUUGUUGGAUUAAGAUCCAAUGUUCAAACACGUCAGCUGAUCGCUAACUAAGAAACAAGCGACUUCUUAAUAGCAAACCGUUUUCUGAAUCCCCACAUUCGAUAAUAAAAUUCCACCGGGAACCUACCAUGCUGUAUGCAGAUAUCGACCUUCUUUUUUUGGAUUGUGAUAAGUGUAUUUUCAUAGUUUAAAUAUUGUUCACGGUGCAAAUUCCGCCCUUGCGUGGCGGGUUAUUGGACAUUCAACUGUGGAUACCGAGCUUAGCAAAUUUUUGUCGAACUCUUUUUGGAAUGGAAUGGAUUAAUACAAUUUGACUAAGAGUCAUCAUUUUUAUGGUUUAGGGUGGUGGCUGCACCCCAAAACCUACCAAGGAUCGAACCCCAGGUUUGACCCUCGGCGUGUCUCAUUUGAGCCGAAUUUCUUUUGGCAGUAGGAGAUGCAAUCCGUUCACGCUUCACACUGAAGCGUCAGUGACUUCGUCGAUCUCAAAACGUUUUCACGAUUCUGGUCAUCCGUGUGAGUGUGUGCGCACGGCGGUGUACGUCGUGUGUGAUCAUUGUUCCUAAAAUAAAGUACUUCCUUCGUCUAACAAAGGAUGUCUGAAUUUUGAUUAAAUUUGAAUGCAUCUAUACAUCAAGUCAUGUCUACAUACAUCAACAUUUUGACAAACUUGAGACAUCUUUUGCUGGACGGUGAAAGUAUAGGAGCCCGGGAAUAGCCGCAUCUUAUUACAAGCAAUUAAUAUUUCGACCCUGAACCAGUUUGAGCUUAACCCCAGUGGAUCGGAAUCGGGUUCACUGAGCGAGCGAGCGCUCCAUUACAGAUUUUUACAGGCACUGAGGCACCGUCUCUUCCUGCUGCCCCCCUCCGGGGAGCUAGCUGCGUGCUAUGGACCGCCCAUUCGUGGAACGGGCUGUACCCACCAAUACCUACGUACCUGCGCGCCUGCCAUGCCACCCCUCUGCCACGGGGGGCUGUCGGCUCCAAAGAAUCAUGCAAUAAUUACCAGCUUCUUCUAUCGGCGGCAUACAGAGGAGAGGAUUGAGCUUUUGAGCAUCUCGUGUGCAGAGAGAAUCUCUCUGCCCGUUCGCGCCAGGUGGAUGUAUUUACUUGCGCCAGGAGCAAACGAGCAACUCGUGACCGCCUACGCACGUUUCCCCGACUAGACAAGUCAAUUGGUGAAAAUUGGUGAAAUUGGCAGCUAGCUUAUUUAUCCCUUUAUCCAUUCGCACCCACCCCACCCCGGCCACCCUCCGCGCUGCGCAUGCAUGCAUGUCCUCGUGGGCUCUCGAGGACUUGAAGUACGUACGUCGCAUGCAUGCAGAUAAGACGGAGCUAGAGAGAAAGCCUCUUCUUUUCGCUCGUGGCCCGGCAUGUGCAUGCCAAUGGCAAUGCCAGCGUCCCAGUCAGCUACUCUCUCCGUUCCAAAUUCUUGCCUCAAAUUUAUCCAAAAAUAAAUAUAUUUAUUUUUUAAAAACGUUUAUAUACAUGUAAUAGUCCGACAAAAAUUAUGAAACGGAAGGAAUACUGACCAUAGCUAUGGUCAGUACAACUCCUAGUGACAAGUGCAAGCAGGGGAAGUUCAUACUCUAUGUGGGAGGUGCAAUGCAUCUCUCGCUCUAAAGACGUGGUACUCCUAGACUACAGGACUACCACGUACUGGAUUCAUCGAGAUGUGAUGGAACGGUGUACCAGGGUGCGUGGCAUGCAUGUAGACGCCGGGCCGAUCGAUGUAUGUCGAGAGCGGGAUAUGGACAACGAAAAAGGGUGUGGGCAGGGUAGGUGUUCGAUCAAAAUCCACGGACAGUUCCAAACUGAGGAGACCAUGGGGAAACUACUGGACAUCGGGGGUAUAGUGUUCACGUGACGUCAGAACUGGGGAGAGCUACACAACCUCAAGUCGUCGUCUUCUGGUAAGCAAGAGGACCCUUGUUUGGGAGCGCAAUGCAAGUGCAGAUGUUGUGCAGGCGCAGCAGAGACGUGACCCUUGCAGAAGAAAACGCGAAGAGCCGGGUAUAGUGGAUAUGUGGAUGCGUGAAUUAUCGUGGGCCGGGCCGCUUCAAAGCCUGGUAACGCGUGUCGUCGUGGCCUGGCCCAGAUUAUGCUGCUCAUCCGUCCAGCUCGCAAUACAUGAAGAGAAGUUCAAAAACCCGCUGUCCACUUUUGCAUUUAUCCAACGUUUCCUUGAUGAUUUGUCUCUCAUUCGUGAUGUUGUCCAUGCUGUGACACCGGAGCCUCCUCCUGGUGGUGGUCGCCUUGUCCCGCCCACCAACCGCUGGUCUCCUCCGUCGGCUGGUAUGUGUAAAAUUAAUGCGGAUGCUGGAGUUGCAAGGUCAGGUGCAGGUGGUUCUUGUGCUGCGGUCUGUCGCGAUGAAUGUGGAAGAUUCAUGAGAGCCUCUUCGAUUACAAUCGAGGGCAUGACCGACCCUACAAUACUUGAAGCAUUGGCAUGUAAUGAAGGCUUGUCUCUGGCCUUGGACCUUAACAUCUCAAAAGUUUGUGUUGUUUCGUACUGCUUAACGGUUAUCAAGAGUCUACAACAAGAUGAUCUUUGCUAUUAUAGUGCGAUCAUUAAGGAUAUUGUGGCAAGGAAGGAUCAGUUCCGUGAUGCUGUUUUCAGACGUGAGAAGAGAACUCUUUAUAGAGAUGCUCAUAAUCUAGUUAGAGCGGAGUUACCGCUUUCUGUUGGCCAUCAUAUUUGGCUUUUAAGUACCCCAUGCAUUACUUGUAUUCCUGUUCAAGUUGGUGUUGAAUAAAGCUGGCCUUUCCCCUAAAAAUAAAAUAUCCGUCCAGCAGAACUGAAUCCCCAAUAGCGCGGUUACAAGACAAGAAUGAUUAUGUAAUUAUGUUCCUUGUUAUCGUUUCACUUUGCACCACAGAAAGAGUGCUCUGUUUGGCUCCACCAAGGCAAAAGGAAAGAGAAACAGGAACCGAGGAGUGUCUCAUUGUCAAUUACUAAUUCAGCCAACGAACCCAUAAAACAUGUACCGACGCAAAUGCAAUUCAUCAGAAGUGUUCUUCAAGGAAGAACACAGACAGGGUAUCGGACUACCGGUGACUAUGUUUGGAUAUCUUACAUGCUCAGAAUGCUGCGGGCGAGUUAACUGGGAAAUAAUUGAAGAUGAAGAAAGGACACAGCAAGUUACAUAAGCGGCAACAGAUUUUGCUAGAGUGGCACAGCAGUGGCAGGUGCUGGAACAUGCACCUCAAAUACAAUCAGGAACUCGAACUGUUUAUAGCUUUGGACACUUUCUUCCAUCGCAAAACACUUCGAGUUUGUUCUUAUCAAGCAAAUGGUUUUCGAUUAGGCCCAGAUAUGACAUGGUGUUAUUACAUGCAUAACAGCGCUGGCUUGUCAAGCACCACUGGCAUACAGGCGAGUCCACUCCUUCGCUGCAAAGCAAAAAAAAAAUUGACAUGUUAGGUACAAAAAGCAAUGAAAAGUGGAGCAAAAUGACAUGCUAGUGUAUCAAAGUGCAGUGUUAGCGUGCGGCUUUGUUGGCUGAAUUUUCAGUUACCUGUCUCGACAGCUUCAGCUUCAUUGGAUUUCCAGUGUUUUGCCACGUUUUCUGAGAGCGGAUCAUCUGGAUUCGGAGCGCUCAGCAGUGCCUGAAUGCUGCAGACCAAACAUUGUAAAGAGGCAAAAAAAAAAGAGUAUACAAUAGUGGAUACAAGAAGCAACCCUCUGGAAAUACGAUAAUAUGAUACGAUCAUGAACUAUAAUGAAACUAUUUGGCCAAACAUGCCACGGAAGACAGAAGAGGUUGCUACCUCAAAAGAACAGUACGUAUCUGAAGAGCUGGGCUCCAUUUGUCCUUCAGGAUAUCGAGGCAUAUCCUACCAAGCUGCAGUGCAAGUCAAUCCGAAAUGAGAAACUGUUAUCGAAUGAAGUUCCAUUGAGAAUAUCAGUUCCCUACCUUGUCAAUGUUGGGAUGGUAUAUUUUUGUGAGAAACCUAACCUGCGUCAGGAAUAACCAAAGAGUGAUGUCCAUCAGAAAGAAUCACAACAGAGACAACAUACAGAAAAGUCAAAUAGAAUUGUGUAACUACUUUGGUUAGACGACAGUGUCACACUAAAACUAAAACAACCAUGUUGAUAUCCGUAAGAGUAAAACAGUCCAAGGACAGGAGUUGAGAACAAAAUAUUCAGCUACCUCUUAUUUAACAUGAUGGAAAUUACUACUCCCUCCGAUCCAUAUUAAUUGUCGAAAUAUUACAUGUAUCUAGACAAUUUUUUAGCCAUAGAUACAUCCAUAUUUGGGCAAAUUUGAGACAAUUAAUAUGGAUCGGAGGGAGUAUUAGUCUGAGUCUCAGAUGAUAUAUCACAAUGUCAGUACACUCCAAAUAUAGCAUUGCCAAUUAAGUAAAGUAAAGUACGGAACUGUGCAAAGGAGAUUAGUUAAGUGAACGGAGAGAGAAAUCUAGUAUGGAUACGAAAAGUAUUAACACAAUACUAAACAUGGGCAUUCAGUAUUCCUGAUCACAAAGAUGGUAUGCAAAUCUAUUAAUGGUACAUAUCAACAACAAACAUGGGCGCUGCCCAAAAUAAGAUGUCACAAUAAAUUGCUGGUUUCGGUUAACCACAGGCAUAAUUAAACGUCCAUCCCACUGUCGCACCAUAGCAUGAUAAAAUCAUUGCGAAGAUCGCUCUGCCAGAUUUUGAACUCAAAUUUCAGUUACAACUUACAACUAGGAAAUGAACCAAAUUCCACAUCAAGGAGCCUACCGGGACAAGAAAAUCCAUCACAAUAUGUGUCAAACUAAUAACUUCUUAAACAACCAUCCACUAAUACUUGAUCAAAAAAUUACUUUUGGAGCAGCCAUCGGAUAUUCCUCAGGUAAGAAAAGUUCAAGCUUGAAAACUCCACCUGUCCAACACAUAUUAGAAGAAAUAUCAGGAGGACCAGACACAGACAACUAAACAAAAUAAUGUUUCACCCAAUUAAAAAUGUCAUAAGCAAAUACAGUAUACAAAGAUAAGUAAACCAAGCUUAAAUAAAUAAGAUAACAUAGUGACAAAUGUACUGUCUAACAAUAGGAAAACAGGUCGUUCUGUGUACCAUUUAUCAUAUACAUGCACCGCAUUUCAUUACUCCAUGUUGCAUGGAAACAUGGUAGAUAGUUCCUUGUGCCGUAUAUCAGUAAACUUCAGUAAUCGCAAAGGUUAAGGAAACCCAAGACAUUCAAUUCCCAUAGGUUACUGAUAUAUGGUACAGUUGUAGAUCUAGCAUGUUAAGGAAACUACAAACUUGUGCCCCAUAUCAUAUCUAAACUAAUAGCAGGUAUAACUGUUGAAGUAUAAGGUGAAUUGCCCUCAUUUCUCCAUCAGCUUAGGCUUUUAGGGGCACUGGUUCGGCCCAUAUGCAACUCUCCAUGGUAUCCGAGCCAAGAGGUCCCGAGUUCAAGCUCAAUAUAAUAAAAAGGCACUUUUGAUCCAUGAGGGGGAGUGUUGAAGUACGAAAUGAAUUGCACUCGUUUCCCCAUCAGCUUAGACUUUUGGGUGAACUGGUUCGGCACAAGCAACUCUACAAAAGGCAGUCUUCCUAUGUGGAAUAACUUCUACAAAUAAAAAACCAGGUUCACUAGAGCUUAAGAUAACCGAUGAAAUGGACUUGUCAAGCUAUAUUUUGUGAUGGAUUCAACAAAGCAGAAUCUCAAAGUAUAGAAUCCAAAAGGCACAGAAGAGUACAAUUACCACUGGAACAGCUGGGUACAAGAUGGUCGGAUUGCUGGUCUAGCAAACAUAAGUUUAGAAGUGUAUAGUUCCGGCAGCACUAGAACAACACCUUUAUGUGACCAUCCUGAUAUGAUCAUCCAUCUGUGAUGUUUUACUACAUAUUUGCAGCAUUUUACAAACAAAAAGAGCCAUAGAUACGAAAAUGGGGACGCGGUGACCACAGUUACAGUCCUAAAUUGCCACAGAACUACGCAUUCGUGCUCCAAAGUAUUACAGGGUUAUCGGCAUACGAAACAUUCCAACAGAAAUAAAAUGAAAAGGAGGUUUUACCUUCAUAAGGAGACUGCGCCGGACCAAGGACCAUGACAUUGAAGUAGCGCAUGUUCUCCUCCGACGGCGACGCGCUAAUCCCCGGCGCUGCACGCACCCCCCCAACACACGAAUCAGCACAAACAUCCGAGGCUCGAACGCGGACAACACAACAGGAGCAUCGAAUUCUAGGAAAACGAACCUGGUUCGCUGAGCAGCCGCUGCGUCUCCUGCAGCAGAUCCAAAUUCCGAACAGAUUAGGCACCACGCACAAGGAAUAACCAGACGAUAAGGUUAUCAUAUCGCGUUAGAGUCUCAGAAACGGCUGUAGAUCUGGGGGGGUGAGGGGCGAUCGGAUCGCGGGGUAGGGCGCGCGCACCUUGAUGAUCCGGCGCGGGAGGUUGCUGUUGGCCAUGGAGUCCGGCCGGGGCUGGAGCGAGAGCCUAGAGGGGAGGGGGGGAGGGACCGCCUCGAGCUUCGCGCGGCGACGGAGGAGAAGACAGCGCGAGAGAGGUCAAAGGAGUCGUCGAUCUGUCGGGGAGGGCGAGCCGGGGGAGGAGGCGACGAACGAACAGAAAUGGGUCAGGGUCCGAUACUGUGUACCACGUAUUUAUAAACUCCACGCUACAGCCGCUGCUGCUGAUAUUUUCCUUUUCCUCUUGAGCUGGUGUUUUCGUUUUAUACUCUACCGACCUGUUUGUUUGUCCUUCUAUUUCAGUUUUUUUGCAUCUGGCAAUCUUAAAAGCAUCUUUUCUGUUUACACGUGAAGCUGAGAGGCACCUCCGAACAUGCUAAACACUGUUUACACAUGAAGCUGAGAAGCACCUUCGGACGUGCUAAACAGAAAAAGUGCUUUUGAGAUUGCUAAAAGUACCAAAAACUGAAACAGAAGUCCAAACAAAUAGGCCCAGAGUCUGCUGGAUUGUGAAUUUGAAUACGCACACGGCGAAAUCAAAAUACGAAGUCAUGGCCACUAUGUUUAAAAUAAAAUUCGUGUACUUGGACAAAACAGAAGUUGUUCGGUGAAUAAAAAAACCCUAGAAAUGAUUUUCCGACGUAAUAAACGGUAUAAUAGUACUACUAGUAGUACGAGGGCUGCUGCAGCGGAGAUUAAAAAAAAACGGUGUUCGUUUUAGGUGAGCCAGGGAGAGCAUCUCUCCACGCGAAGGGAGCACACAAUUUAUGCAUGUGCAGAGAGAGAGAGCACGGAGAAGAACAACCUUUGGGUUUGCCUAAUUGCAACGGCCAACUUGUGACUUUGUGUUGUGCGCGCUCGUCGUGGAAGGAUCUCAGGCGAAAAGGAAGGUGGGGGAAAGCUCGAUUAUUCUCCGCAGCUUCAAUCCCACGCUAAGCCGCCUGGUCGAAAAGGUUUGGCUGGCCAAACCGGUUUUGCAUGGUACUCCGUAACAUGUUUUUCAAGUUUUUUAGAACUUUGGAGGAACUCGAAACAAAUUGAGAGCAUACGCUUUCUAAGAGUUGAAAAGUAUUAUUUUCGAAGCACGGGCAGUCGGGCACGGGCAUCAGAGCAUCUCCGUUGCCAGUCGCUCGAAGCGAAGAGAAAUCACGCACUUCCUCUGCUACCGAAGCGAAGGCAGGAACAAGAACAACAGCGACGAGACACAGCCAGAAAUUCGGCAUAGUAUUUGCUCAGGGCUAGAUUCCACUGUAUUCGCUGUAAUCUGGUAAAGCAUGUCGCAUGUGCCCAGACUACAGGAGGAUUUCAAGACAAGUAUCCAGUCCUGUCUUAUUUACAACAGAUAGCGUGCAAAACUAUGCUCAAGAAUCAAGAUAGAUAAAUAACACUGGAUUUCCCCAGUACUUGCUACUUCACCGAACUACGGAGUACAACUGGUAAAGAAUAGUUUCACAAGUCGGAUCCUGAGAUCACAAUGAAAGAGAAGAUACAACAGGGAGUAUUAAAUCUGCACAUGAUCACAAGGAAAUCCAGAUGCACAUGAAUCCAGACAAUAGGAAGAACAGGGAACAGUUUGACAUAUUUUUUCUAAUAAAACAGAAGGUCAGAGUUGCAUGCCUACAUUGUCAACAAAAUAAUAGAUGAAUUGCACGAACAUACCUCAACGACUCAAUGUCAACAUGGAUUUACACUAACAAUUUUUAGUCUUUGACCUUUCAUACUCUUCAGAAUUAAUUAUUACCAGACUAAAAACUACAAUGCACCUAAGAACACGAGCUUUCGCUUCAGAAUAUCCCAAGGAUGGUGGGGGCAGGUGGAGCACGCCAUCAUUGGAGAGCAAGAGCAACGCCAUGUCAUUAACUGAUCAUCUUCAAAUGAUAAUCUGUAGAAGAGACAAUGGACAAGAGUCAAUUGAUCGCUUCACCAAACAGUAACAUUACAAAUUUGCUAUACAGGCUCCAAACAAACUGAUUUUCUAUCAGUCUACGCUUAAACAUAGCAGUUAACAGGGGCAAAGCUUAACACAGGCCCAUCAGCAAUCAUGCAGAGAACAAGGCAAGGCAGAUCAUCCAUGGGAAUCACACAACAAUCCACAAGGAAGCAUGCAUUACAUUCUUUGGAAAGCCAAUCAAGAGAAAUCUGGGUUCAGCGAUCGGAAAGAUUUACAAUGGAUAAGAUAUGUCAAAAUUUCAGUACUGGAAACUUCAGUUACAAAGCAAUUUGAUAAAUCUUACAUGCCAAGACAAGUAUAGAAGAUAUAUCUUUAUAUAAUAAUACUGACUCGUAAUUGUUAGGCUUACAGCAAAAAAAAGGUUAAGUUUCAUUAAACAAGCUUAUUUAUCGGUCUCUGAGGAGCUGGGUUACCUGUAGAUAAAUGGGACCAGAAACUAAGAGGUUACCUGUUGACUCAAGCUUAUGCUUAUUUUGGCGAUACACGUACUCUUAGGCUGGACAUAAUUCACCCUAACGAUUCUCACUAAGACAUGAGAAAGGAAUUCUAGUACGGAAAGGAAGUGAAAACCAGCGCAUGUGCAUCCAAGUGACUCCUAGUGAAACAGCACAGAGAGUGUCCCAGAUCGAUUUUAACUCUGAGUCACCAAGUGGUUCGUCGGUAUCAAUUUGAUCCUAACAGAUUCCAGGCAAUACCAUCAUAUGUCACCCAGUCAUGAUUUCCAGGAAAAGAAUAUAAGUAUUUUCAUCAUACAGACAGAAUUGAAGAAAAACUAUUAUUAGACCAUACAUUAUGGUCUUUCAUUUGUCAUGACAAAAAUGUACUCCCUCCGAUCCAUAAAAGGUGACGCCCAUUUUGUACUAAGUUAGCACAAAUUUUGUACUAGGUGGGCGACACAUUUUAUGGAUCGGAGGGAGUAAUAAGAAACACUAAAAGCUCAAGAUAGAAACUAUGAUUAGUUAGUUCAAUCUUUUAAUAACACCUAUGACAUAACAGAGCUGCACAAUUAUAAUUCUGUAAAUUUUAUCACACCCAAAAACCCAGAGAACCAAACGAUAAGAUACAUAAGUACUUAAAUCUACAAUCAUAACGAGAUGGUCAACAUAUCUCAUCAAUGCACAAAAUUAAAUAGAAAAACACACGACGAAAACAUCCACCAAACAUUAUCUACUGAAGACACAAAAUAUAAAUAGAAUCUCACAAAGCCUACACCAGGAUAGAUCUUAUAUGUGAAUAUCAAUGCUCAACAGGACCGAAAGCCUUAUUUAUGAAGGUUAUCGCACAUUUGGGCUAAGGCCAUUGUAACAUAAAAUAGUCCAAAAUGCACAACAUAUGGGGUGGUCGGACUUCGGCAACGAAACUUCAGACAUACUCGCUAGAUUUUCCGAAGCAACAGUAUCUAAACUUUUUUGUUGCUAAUCCUCCGCAGCAACUCGAGCCAAUUGUUUACCAAGAUCCUUAUCGAGAUUAGCUAGAUUAUUAAACCUUGACUGUAGAUAAACGGACAUGUAUGUAACAUAUUGCUCAGAACAAUCAAGUCGGGCUCACCCAAGCUUGUUUACACCCAUAUGAAGGAAAGGCUUAUUGAAUUGCAUUGUCAGGAAAUCAGCACUUCCCCAAACAAACUGAAAGUACCUUUAUUCCACAACCUAUAAACAUCAAUGGAUAUACUCAGAACACAACAGCUUACAUGUGUGGACCUUCCCACCAUUAAGGCCAAACAUAGUAACAAUAAGUUCCACUUAUUAAAAUGUCAUUGUAUACAAGAAUGUCAGAUUAAAUUAUGCCUCUACACAAGCAUACCAAUCCUGUCACUAUCACUGAAAGUCUGAAACAUUAACUAACAGCCAACAUCAUGCCACAUAACUUGUAAUUUUAGCACAUCAACAUUAGCAUUACAGAAACAAUAGUAGCCACAGAUCACAUAAACGAACAAAAACAAUCUACAGCAAUGUUCUAAACUGAAAUGCUAAAACAUACUUUACCUAAAACCCUCGUCCGCAUCAGAGGUAAUUGGAGUUGGAAAGGAAAGGCAGCGCAGCAACGGAUGAAAUCAGCUCCACUCCACCAGCACCAUUGGAUGCAGCCCCUCCGCUCUUCUUCGUGCGCUUCACCCUUGCGAGCUUCACGUGCGCAUCGACGAAGUUCUCCAUGCGCUUCACCUCCAGCUGCUUCAGGAAGUCAAUUCGCUCGCGUUCCAUCUCUAGCGAAUGCUUUUGUUUCGCACUCUCCACGCGCUCAUACAUCUCUGCAAAAGCCUCAAUUGCCCUCGCCAGCUCGCUGACACCACUAUCCCCAUCACCGCCAGCCUCGCGACGAAAGGGACGCUUGUUGCUACCGCCGGAGCGCGCCGACGAGACAGAACGCGACGGUGACCUCCGCAAGUUGUCAUGGUGGUUGUUGUUGUUGUUACCACCAGGAUGAUCACCAGAGUCCUCCGAAUCAGACACCGCUGCAGCGGCGGCAGCGGCUUCCUGCUGGAUGAACGCAGCGGCAGGGAGCAGCGCCCCGCGGCGGUAGCUGGGGAGGGGCAGAGCCAUGGGCGGGGGCGGGGACGGCGAGGAAGAAGGCGACGGGUACUUCCUCGCGGCGGUAGAAGAAGGAUGGACGGGCAGGGCGAGGUGCGGGGCCAUCGCCGGCGAGGGCCGCUUGUUGGCGGCGGAGUUGAGGGUGGGGCCGACGAGUCGGUCGAGCUCGUCGAAGAAGCUCCAGCCCGACGGCGCGCCGCGGACGCGCUCGGCCUUGUACUUCUUCUUGAGGGUGUCGACGCGGUUCUUGCACUGCACGUCGGUGCGCGGCGGGCGGCGGCGCGCGGCGGCCCCGCGGCGCGAGUUGACGGCGUUGGCCACCUCCUGCCACUGCUUCUGGCGCAGGUUGCCGCGGUUGAGCUCCACGUAGCGGCUGCCCCACGCGUCCACCAGCGCCGCCGUCUCGCCCUCGCUCCAGCAGUCCUCCCGGUAGGGCAGGUUAGGGUUGGGCGGCGGCAGCCUCCCAAACCCUCCCCCUCCUCCUCCUCCCCCUCCUCCCGCCGCCGCCGCAGCAGCAGCCGCAGCCAUCUCCCUCACCUCCAUCGGAACCAGAUCUCGCAGGAGCAAACCCUAACCCUAGCUAGCCCGCCCGCCGAGAGAAGAGGACCGAGCGAGCCUCGGGGAAGUCGCGCGUGACGGUGGGCUAUGUGAGCGGUGGGGGGUUCGGGGUUGGAAUAAAAGGACACGGCGAGGGAAGGGGGGAGGUGGGGUCGCCGGCCGCGAGGGGUCCGGGUUCCGUCCGUCACGCACGCGGCACGUGACGCGUGACCGGCGAGGGGGGGGCGGCAUCGGCAUGGCAUAUCUCGCUCGCUCUCGUGUGUCGUGGGUGACCGGAUUCGGAUCGGAGACGUGCCGCCGUUGGAUUGCGUUUGACCGGGUAACCGGCGAUUACUUUCGGGUUUCGGAGGGCGGGUGGGAUAAUGACAGCCAGCCAGGCACAGGCAAAGCAGAGCGCGGCGACAGGCGACAGCCGGAGACCGGACGGAAUACGGUGGCUGGCGCGGGGGUGGGAAAUUACCGCGUUGCCCCUACCCCGGGGAGCAGGCCGGGGCGGCACGCGGCAGGGGCAAGGCGGGGAUUUCGCGUGGGGCGGCGCGGUGUCAGGGGGUGAGCUGGUCGCCGUUGGUCGGUUUGCGUUUCGGGGCCGCCGAAAGAGGGGAGAGGAGAGAGAGAGAAACGCGCCGAGGAUGAUGGGGAAGGGAGAGGAGACUCGCGAACCGAAGACACCGCUGCUCCUCGCUCUGUACUCCAGUCUAGGCUUCUAGCUAGACUCGGCGCGGUGGAGUGGGUGGGUGAAGAGACUGAGGCGCGGGGCCCGCGUGCAAGCAGGCAGGGCGGGCAAUUAUUGUCGCCUCUGGUGCCGUCGCUCGGUACAGAGGACGGACGGACGGACGGCGUGGGCAAAAUUUAAUCGGCGUGCAGCAGGUGCCGGCUGCCGCCUGCAGGCGCCGGUCCUUCGGAUUGAUCGGUGGAUGGAUGCACUCGCCAAUGGCAAUUCAUCCAUCAAACAUCAUUCGUUACUGUAUAUUUUGUGGCAAAUCAAGAUUAGAGGUUCAUCAUCCGUUUACCGUUUUGGUUUGUCCCCUGGCGUCAUCAUCACCGUCUGGGCUUUGGAACUGACAAUAUGGUUCUUUCGGUGAAAUUCAGGUGAAAGUAAAACUCCACCGGUAGAUAGCAGCGGCCAUGGUGCCGUCGUGGGAACAGAGCAGUACGUACGUUACGGGCUCGCGUCAAAUCCUCGACGGAACCGUGCCCGCUGCACCGGUGGGUGAACAGAACACCAUAAAUCCCUCGCGGCCGUGGAGAGAAGUCAGGGGAACCGCGUGUACGUACGUGGUCCUCUCCUGCUAGCUAUAGCUAGGCUGCCCCGUGCGACCGGCGGCGAGGAAACGGCACGCUCGGGAGCCGUCAACAUUGAAUCGGAGGGCCGGGCGGCCGCGAUAGCGUAGCGACCAGCGAGAUACUCAGUCAGUACGGGCUACUUCGGGCUGUCACGCACGCACCGAGCCGGACGGCCGGGCCGACGCGUCGGGCUUGGGAACCACCGGCGCCGCAGGGGCGGGCUCGGACCGCGUCCAACGCCGCAGGCUUUGCAAAGCUUGCGUUGCGUGUACCCCACGCUACCACGCGGGUCCCCUCCACCAAUCAAUUCCAGGCCGGACGGACGGCCGGUACCGUGUACCGACGCGUCGCCCGCCGGAUCUCCGUGGCGUUUUCCUUUGCCUUUAGUUGUGUACCCGCCCCGCUUCACGCCGGCCUUGUGCGGCAGUUGUGUACACACACGCACGCACUUGUACUACUACUGGUGGCCUUGGACUUUGCUGGUUGCUGGUGCGCACCCAGCUUUUUGCGAACGGUUCCGGGAAACGCCGGCGGAAACUUGUGCGGCGGGUCGGUCGGUUGCCGGGGAAGGAAGGAUUCUUCACACAAGCAACGUGAGAUCUGACCAAGGGGAGCAGCAGCCAGCCAGCACGAGCAGCAGUUCGGCGCUGGAGCUACGCGCGAGCUGGGGCAGGAGCUACACGCCAUGUACGUUGCGUCCCCGGGCCGGUUUGAUUUACGACCGGAAGAGCCGCAGCGUUUCCGGCGCGAUGACCGGACAAAUUAGCCGGCUUGGCCGAUGGCUAUACUAUAUCGGAUUGGACAUAUGGAGUGAUAGUGCUCCCGACAGGUAGGAGACGGACGGACGAGAGCGAGUAAACUGCUGCCUGCGACUCUGCGAGUCCUGCCGUGCACGGCUCCAUGGACGGACCGCACGUCCAUGGCCUGUGUAGCUCCGACCGCACCGGACGCAGGCAAGCGGGACGUGCUGUUCAUCCUGCAGACGGGACUGACCCAAGUUAUUGGAGACGCGUCGGCAUUGAAGCCUUUUCCAUUCUCAGGAGCAUGACGUAAUCACGGGAUCACGCACGGCGUGGGCAAAAGAUUACCAGCCGCGCCGCGCGUGCCUGACUGCCUGUGCAGCUGUGCUAUUUUGAGUGCAGAAUACAGUUCUUCAGAACCGCGCCUGUUUUUUGAGGCUAACUGAACAUGCAGUUCCAUACAAUUUCAAAACUCUACGUAUAAUACGGAAGGGUAAAAGAUACUGAGGCGGUCGAGACCACUGUCGCGACACGCGAAGCCUGAAAUCGUAGCGGAUUUACUUUUUCUUUCUCUCGGGGCAACGUCCAGCAACAGCAAGUGACUGCUUGCCGGUUCAUCUGGCCGGACUGAAGGUGCAGAACUAUCUGCUUCCAUGACCAUGUCAUCUUACUGAACUGAUGUUGAUGUUGAUCGAACGGAAACUUGGUAUUAGUGCAAUUUGCAUUUGGUAGACGGGGGGUGGGAUGAAGAAGCUGCAGCGCAUUGGUCAGGGCAGCAGAUGGAAAACGCUGGAGACGGAGGUCAAAGAAGACGCGCGUAAAGGAACCGGUCAGAACAGUGACUUCCUUACUGGAUUUAGGUGACAGGCUGAAAAUUGUUUAUACUUUGGCACGUUGCCUGGGACACAGCAGUGGACAAGUUCGGUUCGGAGAAUUCUAUCCUCCAGUCAUGUUCCUUCUCGGUGAUUAACUAUCAGCUCAUCUGCCAAUCACAUGUUCUGUGGUGACAGCAGCCAGCAAAAAUAACCGAACGGAUUAGUGAUCGCCUAGAUUAUGUAGCUCAAUUUGCAUGCGUAGUUUCAAACGGUAUAAAACGAUGCCUUCGAAGAAAUGGGAGUAGUAAAAAACAUGUGGACUCGAUUUGGGCCGGGCCGCGAUAUCUUCGGUUCUCCACCCUCUUACGCGCAGCGUUUCUUCUCAGUGUCUGCUCAUCACUUGCGUUAGCUUGUAUUGUUUGCCUUCGCUUAAUAUUAGUGCCAUGUUAUCAUGGCUCCAUCGCCCAGUCGAACGCCGGCUAUCAGUUCAAAUUAUGGAUAGUCUAUUGGCUUUGAAUAAUGCGUGUCCUUGCUCUGAUUCCGUUGAGUGUCAUUCCAAGAGUAGGUAUCUAUCAGAAGAAUUUUCAGCAAAUGUCAGUGCUGCUUGAAGUCAACGAGUACUAAUCACAACAUGUGUGAACAUUUGCCAUCCUCCUGCGGUGCACUCUGACCUGCAUUGGAGAGCUGUAUUGCAGCCUGAAGGUCUUCUUCUCUAUUCUACUUCUACAUAUCUACCCACGUGUAUAUGCAGUAUCCUCCGAUGGUUUAGCCCAUGGGCAAUGCAGUUGUCUGCUUCAAUUCUUGGUGUUUCAGAACUAGUAGUACUACUAGAUAUGAUCAGUAUGCUGGGGACAGGACAGUAUGAAUGUACGAUAGAUAAGGUCCUAGAACAUGGGCCACAGGUUAUGCAGAUCGCAGACACGAGUGUUUGGCUGGAACUGAUCUCCGAAUGCGAGACUCCGAGAAACGUUGAUGCCGCUUUCUGUCGAUCACCUUGAGCCAUUGUCCGUCUGCUGGCCUGGCAGGGAAAGUCUACGGAAUGCCAUCUCGAAAGCCAUGGAAAUUCUGUUUUGCCUGACAGAACUCUGGCGUACAUGAGCAACAGCGACCGGAGCGUGGUUUGCCUGCGUGCUUGACUGUAUGGUCACGACGAACACGAGGUGGCGACCAUCCGCCGCGUUAUCCAGGACUGCACCCGUCAGAGAAGGAUCCUUCACUUUUUGGGAAUCCAAUCACUUCGGGAUCCAUCAGAGCAGAAGACACGGCCAUUUCGCCGGCGGCUUUCCCCAUACAGUGCACAUCUCGUGAACUUCCGUCCAUAUUUUCUGGCCAAAUUUGCAAAGGAUUUGUGCUUUUCAGAGUGCAGCAAACGUAGCAAUACCAGGAAACUACGGAGUAGAAUAGGAAGGAACGUACGCCUGUUUGUUCGGGCGGCAAAGUCAGAGCGACACUCUCUCUACUUUGUUUGUUCGUCAGGCCAGGACGCCCGCCAAACCCGACAUGGAUAACUCCAUUAUUGACGAUGGAAAGUAGAAAUCUGACCCCGGGGGCACUAGCAGACGACACUAUCCACAUUGUCUUCACACACCGAGAAUAUGACAAAAUAACAUGCAUUCUUAAUUCACCUAUCGUCCCCAGUACACACCAUCAGAAAACAUCUUCGAUCUUCUAAGGCGUGGAUGCAUUAGGGGUGCGUAUAAAAAUAAUCAUACUCCUUCCGAUACAUAAAAAGUUUCCCACAUUUAGUACAAAAUAUGUACUCCCUCCGUCGAACAAAGGAUGUUUCAACUUUGAUUAAAUUUGAAUGCAUCUAUACACUAAGUCAUGUCUAGAUACAUUUAAAUUUUGACAAACUUGAGACAUCUUUUGUUGGACGGAGGGAGUACUAAUUUUAGUACAAAAUGUGUGACACUUUUUAUGAAUGGGGGGAGUAUCUCCUAGACUCUUUUGAUUCAAAUGAGUUAAUCCUUCAGAAUUUUUUCUAUGUAGGCUUAUUUCAUUCGUAGGAUUAGAUUUUAGUGGAAAUUUGCCUAUGGUUCACUUUGCACUGCAGUGAUGCAAACCAGAUUCCGCGAAAACCCACUUCUAGUUCAUUUUUCAAAUCUUCAAUUCAAAUUUUGAGCAAAAAUUUGGAUAAAAGACUUGAGAAUUGAACUAAAAGUUGACCAUCAAUGGGAUCCCGUUUGCAUCUCUACUGCUCUCAAUUCCAAAGUAAAUUUUCCAUCUAAAUCUAAUCACUUGAAAAAAUUCCUUUGUUUCCAUGAUAACUAUACCAAUGCACGUAAUGUUUUUCUCUGUUUUUCCUCUAAUGCUAGAUUGAGUCUGUUUUUCCUUUAAUGUUUUUCCAACUCGAUUAGUUUAUUCAGGUGGUUUCUUCCUGUAGAAAACAACAUAUCAUGACAUUUCAAUCUUGUGUUUGCUAUUUCAGGGCUCAUUCACUCUACAUGCGUUUUAGAUGAUUUUUCUACAAGAUUUCAACUCUUACACCUUGUUUGGCACAUGUGGGUUUCUUACGUUUUCUAUUUCUACUCUACAAUCUUAAAAUCAUGUUCUCCUUCUGACCUUUGUUCUCAAAUUUAUCUAAAUACGGAUGUAUCUAUGUUUAAAAAAUGUCUAUAUAUAUUUAUAAUAUUUCAGUAACUAAUAUGAAUCGGAGCAACUAACUCGAACGAGCCCUCGGUGUUUGAAUAUUUAAAUACUCCUGAAUGCAAGUAUAGUUCUGCACUCCUACUGCAGCUUGCUACCACGAAACUAAACAUUUCUCUUUCUGCAGCCCCCGACUCGAUCUAGCCGCAGUCCAUGUCGUUCUUUUCGCCCUGGCGUGUGCAAGAGUCGAACCCAUAGUGUGAACAAUUGAGUUAGGCACGAGCCGGAGAGGAGGAGAAAGGACAAAUUAUUGCUCAGAUUAAUCAUCACCUCGAUCGUUGCGGCGCAAUACCGUUAUAUAACGACGGAAUACGGGCCCACACGUCAGUGUAAAGCGAGCUGCUUGCCGCUUUCUCCCUCUUGCGUGACGCCGUCGCCGUCCAGAGCCAUCUGGCCACCGGGCUCCCAGCCCCCCACAGAUGUGCCCCCUGCAUGCGCGCCAUGUAUCAGCCUCUGAUACGUCAGGCCAGGAACCAUCCUCAGCCGUCAGUUCGUCCAUCUCGACGGCUGCGAUCGCGCUGCCGCCACUUAUAAAUAGCACCGAUGCACGCGCGAGAAAGUCCGUUUUACCUUGCUGGGGGGGGGGGGUUUUACUUACAUGAGCGCGGGAAUGGAGGCGGAGCUGGAGGCGGCUCAGCGGCGCUUCCGGCUCUGGUUCCGCGGGCUGCGUUCCCUGCGGCGGGACCUCCGGUCGGCCCGCUGGGCCGGCGACGACCCGGCCCAGCUGGGGAAGCUGGCGGGCGGCUUCGUGGCCCACUUCUCCGACUACUGCGCCGCGCGGGCCGAGCUGGACCCGGUCCUGCUGCUGUCGGCGCCCUGGGCGAGCCCCGCGGAGCGUGGCGCCGCCUACUGGCUGGCCGGGUGGCGGCCGACCACGGUGGUCCACCUGCUGUACACCGAGUCCAGCCGCCGGUUCGAGGCGCAGCUCCCUGACCUGCUCCUGGGCGUGCGGUCGGGCAACCUGGGCGACCUCAGCCCGGCCCAGCUGGCCCAGAUCGACGAGCUCCAGCGCCGCGCCGUCGCCGAGGAAGACGCGCUCUCAAGGGAGAUGGCGCGGCUGCAGGAGGGCCACGGCGUCGUUGGCGGAGACGGGGAUCUGGACGUGGAGGGGAUCGUGAGGCGCGCCGGGGCCGUGGUGGCAGGGGCCGACGCGCUGCGGCUGCGCACCUUGAAGCGCGCCGUGGAGAUCCUCGAGCCGGCGCAGGCCGCCGAGCUGCUCGUCGCCAUGGCCGACAUGGAGAUCGGCUUCCGGGAGUUCGGGCUAAAGCACGGCGACGGCGGUGGCGAGCCGAGCCGCGGCGCGUAGGCAUAGGCGUGGCGCGGUCCAGAGAGCAGAUCCUCAUCCGCAUCGGCGGCUCGGCCCAGUUUUUUUCUUCCAAGUGUUUGCGCUGGUUUGACUGGGACAGAAAGACUGCUCACUGUUGUAAUCUUGUUGCCGUGACGAUUGUCUUUGCCGAACUGUCUCGCGGUGGGUGCUGCGUCGUAGCUGGACCGUGUGCGUGUGCGUGUGCGUGCGCGUGCGCCUGCUGGGAUGUCGUGUGAGAAAGCAAUAAAAUGCAAGGAAUGCAUGCUUGGUUUCGUUGAGAAGUCAUAUUUUGUUUUCGAGCAAGCGGUUUUUUUAACAUCUUUUCCGAUAAAUUGGCUGUUUGUCUGUUCACUACAGAAGACCCGUCCUUUUAAAAACGGUUUUGCUAUUAAUAAAUCCAUGUUUUAGUUAGAGUAGUCAUAGGAUUUUAAUCCAAUGAUAGCAAGUGAGAGAUGAGAGAACGAGGAUGACUCUCAGAUCUCCAGCAGUUAUGAAACGUCGACUGAUAUUUAAGGUUCAUUUUUUAAAAACUUGCGACUUAGAAAUAGCCAUACCCAUUUAAAAAACGUGUUAAAUCUUAUUAAAAUAAGAUUCUGAUCGAUAACUUAUUUUUAAUAGGUAUUGCUACGGAAAAGUUGUUUUUCUAGUUAAAGAUAAGUUGAAACACCAACUGUCAUAUCUUGAUCCAACGGCGGCACAUUGAAGAUGGGGUGUAGCUGCUAGCUUCGGCAUUGAAGAUGGCGUCAUGGUAGGGAGAAGCUAUCAAGUUAUCCGAGAUAGAGGAGGCACUGAUGGAACACAUCCGCUUGCUAGGCUUGUAAUCGGACAAAUAAUUCAAACAGCUUUGCUAUUCAUAAGACAAUUGAGAAAUAAUUAUUUUCAAGCCGACGCUAACAAUCGUUUAAUCCAAUCUCUGAUAUGUGUGAGAUCUAUACAAGUGUUGUUGACUGAAAAUAACUGCUUCCUCCGCGCCUGGAUACUCGUCGUGGUCCGGAAAUCCAACCAGUUGUUCGUUCGAGCCAGAUCCAAACGACACCGGACAGACAACCACGGGCGGUUCUACCGUGCCGCACGGUCACGCGCCCAAUUAACCGGCCACACGGCCAAGCGAAUCCAGGAUUAAAAAUAGGAAUCGCGUACAAUUACCGGCCACCCAGCCAGGCAGCCCGCAACGAUAAACCAGCAGUCUCCCGCUCCAUGUUUGGGAGCCAUGCCCAACUACAAACCCAACGUUUCCAAGCUGGCCGCCGCGCCCCGCGACAUCCACACGGCAGAUUAACCCUUCUUCUCCUUUCCUUCCUUCCUCCCUCUCCGCGCGCGCGCGACCUCCCGCAGACCCGCCUCCGCGAAUCUAGCCACCCCCGCGCGUGCGCCACGCACCGUCCGUCCGUCGGACCUCGGCCGGGCCGGCCCGCGGUCGUCGGCGCGCGGAGGGCGUUCGUGAGAAUGCGUGCGGCGGCGAUUGGUUGCUAGCUAGCUAGCGGCAUGCCUGGCAUGAGCGCGUGAUGGCGCCGCCGUUCCUGAAGACCGGGCACGGCCGCGACAGGUUCUCCUUCAGGCGGCGGAAAUCGUCCUCCUCCUCGUCCUCCUCGUCGACGCCGUCUUCUCCGCUCUCGGUGUCGUCCACAGCGUCGGAGGACAUCGCCGACCCGGGCAGCCCCAUGGAGUCGUCAGCGACGACGGGCAAGACGCUGCCCUGCGCCCGGCGGGCGCUCUCGCGGAGCAGCUGCGGGUCCAGGGGCAAGCUGUCCGUCGACCUGAUCCCGCCGCCGCUCGCCGGCGGCCCGUCCGACGCGCCCAGGUCCUCCACCUCCGCCGCGCCGCCCCCCAAGCCUCCCCCCCGCAACGAGGGCCCGCCUUCAGGUCUCACCAUUGUUAAUUUUCUAGUGUCUGUCUGACUUUCUGUCGUCAAAUGCAGAGAAAUGCCUUGUUAUGUUUUCGUGAUCGAUUGCAUGUAUCCAGAUGCUGACAUCGUGAGGGACAAGUUCUCCAAGCUGCUGCUGGGGGAGGACAUGUCCGGCACCGGCAAAGGGGUGUCCUCUGCCCUCGCUCUCUCCAACGCCAUCACCAAUCUUGCAGGUAAUCUCUCCCUUACCUUCCAUUUCCGAUCUUUCCAUUUCCAAUAACAGUCCCUGUCUUUCAAAUCUUCCCAUUCUGUCCGUUGGGUUCUGAUGGAUACUGACACGAUCAGCUAUGAUUUCUUUCUCAUGACGUGGCACAUUGCAGCUUCCGUGUUCGGUGAGCAGCGGCGUCUCCAGCCGAUGGCCGCAGAGCCGAAGGCCCGAUGGACAAAAGAAAUUGACUGGCUUCUGUCCGUUGCCGACCACAUCGUCGAAUUCGUUCCUUCACGUCAGGUGUCCGAGGAUGGCUCCACCAUGGAGGUCAGAAACAAGAGGAUCCUUGCUUAUCACAAGUACCUGGAUGUAGUUCUGUAUCACGGAACAUCUUUAUGCAAAUCCAAUUACAGCGGUGCUAUUUUUCUCUCUCUCCCCCCAAACAGAUAAUGAUGACUCAGCAGCGUAAGGAUCUGCAGAUGAACAUCCCCGCACUGCGCAAGCUCGACGGGAUGCUCCUUGUAAAGCUCUGCCACAUUCUUCUUUGAAAUCAUUUACGAGAAUGACAUGCGUGGAGAUACCUGAUGAAUUGCUAAUAUGCUAUGGCUGCACAUUUCCUGUUGUGGGGGCACAGAGCUAUCUUGACAGCUUCAGGGACAAGCAGGAGUUUUGGUACGUGUCGAAAGACGCAGAUGACUCGGAGAAGGGAGACGCGCCGAAGCAGGAUGACAAGUGGUGGCUCCCGACUGUCAGGGUCCCUCCUAAUGGUCUGUCGGACUCGUCGAGGAGGUGGCUUCUACACCAGAGGGAGCUCGUCGGCCAAGUCCAUAAGGCAACAAUGGCCAUCAAUGCUAAUGUUCUUAUGGAGAUGGAUGUUCCAGAAGCCUAUAUGGAGUCUCUGCCUAAGGUGACCCAUAUGAACACAGCAACAUUGCAUAACAUUUUUCUUUACUUCGGUUCACUGCAUUUAGAGGGAUCGAGACUCACUUUGACAGCAUCUUCUUUUUUUAUGCUUGAUAGAAUGGAAAGUCUAGCCUUGGAGACUCAAUGUACAAGCUUAUAACUGACGAAUAUUUUGACCCAGAAGAACUCAUAGCAUCAGUAGACUUGUCAGCCGAGUACAGCAUCGUUGAUCUGAAGAACCGAAUCGAAGCCUCGAUUGUCAUUUGGCAGAAGAAAAUGACGCAGAAGGAUGCCAAGAUGUGGGGGCAUGGUGUCAGUCAUGAGAAGCGGGGACGGUUUGAGGGGAGGGCGGAGAAUGUUCUUCUCCUCCUUAAGCACAGAUUCCCCGGAAUUUCUCAGUCAGCUCUGGACAUAAGCAAAAUCCAGUACAACAGGGUACUGGCAACCAUCUUCAAUUUUCCACUGUAUUUUCGGAUUUCCUACAGUACUUUAUUACUCAUGCUCAUUGCAUACAUUUUCUCGUUGUGAUUUUUUUGCAGGAUGUUGGCAGUGCCAUUUUGGAGAGCUACUCCAGGACUCUUGAGAGUCUAGCAUACACGGUUAUGUCUCGCAUCGAAGACGUUCUUCGCGCCGACUCCCUUGCUCAAGACCCCAAGAACGCGGAGGCGACGAGAAUGCCGAGCUUAUCAUCAGAUGACACAGACACGGUCGUCCAAGAUGCCAAGGACGAGGUGGAGAGGCUGGGAAGAAUGGAGCCUCUGAACUCGACACUAUUCGACUACGUGGGCCCACGGGACGGAGAUAUCGGGCCCAUGAUGUCGGAUUCACAGGAACCUCGGGGUGCAAAGCUGUCAAAGGUUUCGUCGAUCGCAACCAAGAGGUUCUCCUACCUAGAUAAGCUUGAGAAUUUGGGUGGAACAAGGAGCCCCAUAUCUAGACACUAGUCGCUGCCGUAGGGGAAAAGACGAUCAAUAUGGUGUUGAUGUUGCUGCAGAGACUCCGGGGAAAACUGCACGUAAAUAGCUCCGCAAAAACUGAGGGUGCAGCAUGCAUUGUGAGGUUUAUGUAAGCUUUCAAGCUUUCAGGCACCAAUACCUCCAAUUUGGUGCAGUUGCCAAGACAAUGUGAUGACGAUUCUCCUGCUAAAUUUACAUGAAAUAACCACAAGAUUCUGACACUGGACCUGAAAAUGGACCUCCAGAUUUUCUUACUGUACUUCUGUAGCAAAGUUUUGUGGUUCCAGUAAAGUGUUUGUUAUCUUAGACUUGACUUGCAGACCAUGCUUGGGUUCGGCUAGUGUUCUCCCCACGUACAAUUUAAGAGGGUAAUAACAUAUCACUGAACUUGGAGAUCGAUCUGUGUUAGCUUCUGGCGUUCUAGAUCGGCACUGUAAUAAGUAACUGUAACUGUACCAUGGCUCUAUGCAUUGGGAAAUUAAAACCACUCGUAUGAGUAAAUCAAUUUACAGGAACAAAUGAGCAGUAAAAAGCAUCCUUCCGGUUGCUGAUAGUACGUGCAGCUAGGCACGCCAUAUGAGUACAUACAACGAAGGACUUAACGUCCAGAUACGCAGAUCCAUGGUACACAAGCACAGGCAUAUGCAGGAACAGAUUCAGAGAGAGAGAGAGAGAGAAAGAAACUGAAACCAAAGCUUUAAUCAAAUCAGAUCAGAUCUUGCCGCGUGGGCCGGGGGUGGGGGGAAGCUGCGGCCCCUUCUUGAUGGGCAGCAGGUCCGGCGACGUGGUGGCGCCGAGGUAGGCGAUCAGGGACCCGCCGCCGAGGAGCAGGAACUUGAGCAGCAGGCCGCGCUUGGUGAAUGGCGCCGCGAAGGUCUGGAAGAACUUGCUCUGCAGCCCGUUGUAAGGGGACGGCGCGUCGGACCCGUACAGGUCCCACUGCCCCGUCGUGUUGCCGAUGUCGUCCAGGUCGAAGUACACGCUCUUCUCCCCGUACUUCGCCUGCACCGCGACGCCUCGUGCAGGCCUGCAGGCGUACGCGCACGCGUAUAUAUACGGUUAUUUAUACGUAUGUACAUACGCUCGAUCGAUGACAUAUUAGCUCGCUUCACGUGCGUACCUGCGGGUGGAGCGGCAGAGGGAGGACGGCCGGGCGGUGGCGGCGAGCUUGCGGCCGGACAUGGAACUGCCGGCCAGGCCCUUCACGGCGGCCGACGGCUGGACGGCGACGAGCGACACCAUUGUUGUAACAGUGGGAUGUGUUCUGAGCUUCUUUUUCUUUUUUUUUUUGCUGCGGGUUACGUGCGCGAACUUGAUCCAGUGCUGGGGAUAUUUGGAAGGUGUGCUGCUGCGGGGCUGAUCAGGUUUGGGUGGGAGAGGCUUGGCGGGGAUGGGCGAGGCCCCCAUUGGGAGCGCGCCACGCGGCAGGGUUCCGGAUAGGCUUAUCCUGAUCGCUUGAUUCUUGGGAGGGAUGACAUGGCGCGGCCAACGUGGCACCGGAGCUUGCGUGGGGUUGUCCAGCUGGGAACGGGCGUCGGAAAAGAUCUCACCAGAUGUCCCCGACGGCAUCGAUCGAUCGAUCACGGUCUCACUGAGAUAUGGUGGGCCGGUGGGCCCAGAAGCCCUCUAGCUAGGUGCUAGGACAGUGCACGUAACGUACUCCGUAUUGAUCAUUGAAGGAAAGUAAAGAGAGAUAGGUAGAGAAGGACGUCCACGUACUCCGUUGCAUUUUGCAAAUGUUGCACGUACGUACGUAUCAGCACCAGGAUACAUAUGCAACGUGGGCAGGCAGAGUACGUAUAUUGUAGUGUAACGUAUUGCUAGUCGAUCUUAAGCACCUUCCGCUUGGCCGGGGAUACUAAUUAACCGGUAAAUACGGCGGAAGGGAUGUGUACAGGCGCGAUAUAUACAGUGGAUCCAGAUCUGAGAUCGAUCUAGCUGAGCCUUGCGUACGUGCUAUAUACACAUCCUCAUCCGCGAUGGGCAAGCGCAUGCAUGCAGGGUACGCUUCUACGACAAUGGAGCAGCAAAGGAAUUGACGCUACGCUACGUACAGCGAAUCGAUCAUGCACGGAUUUGCGAAUCGAUAUCUUCACGAUGCAUGGCCACAGGCAGGAUGGCGCACAAGUGUGCUGGGAGCGAGAAGACGCGACUAAAAAAAUAUGUGAAUGCGAUGAGCCGGGCCAGGCUGCCAGCUUUAAGCCCAGAUCCAGAGCGACAAGCAAGCCGUUGUUGCACGCCCAACACUACCAACAUGGACCCGCUUUUUUUCGGCGGGCCUGAAUCCACCGUCUAUACUGAUGCCCUCUGGCCCAAACGAGAAAAGAAAUACCAUACAGUACGGCCGUUUGUUUUUUGUGGGUAUACUGUACACAGGUUGGCGCGGCUAACGAAGAUGCGAGGGCACAGGGAGGCGCACCUUCCUCGGUUCAGUUCAGUUCAGUUCAGGCCGAGAUCCACCGAUCCGCGCGCGCACAGCGCACCGGUGAGAAAGCCAGCACCGACGACGCGGCGCCCCCACGCCACCAGCCAGCCACCGGCCAAACGCACUAACCAAAACCUCGCCGUCGUCGUGCGCUCCCGCCGAACCCCACCCUAGUUCUCUCCCUACUACAUCUCCACGGCGGGAGCUUUGCGCAGCUCUCCCCCGCUCCCCGUGCCACACUCGCUCCUGCACCUCCCGCUCCCCGUCUCCCUUCCCGGCCUGGGGCGUCGGUCCCCAAUUCGGGUCGGGGGGCGCCGAGGUCGCGAGGCGGAUCAGGAUCUGAUCCCGCGCGGCCGGAGCGGGAGCGGUGGGUCGGUCGAUUGGGCGGCGCCGGGAUCAGAUCUAUGCGCGAGAUCUAGCCGGGCGUGCGGGCGGCUGCUGGUGAUCGGAGCCGGACCCGGAGGGGAGUGAGGGAUGGCGUGGUGGUCGGGGAAGGUGUCGCUGGGCGGGCUGCAGGACAUCGCCGGCGCCGUGAACAAGAUCAGCGAGAGCGUGAAGAACAUCGAGAAGAACUUCGACAGCGCGCUCGGCCUCGAGGAGAAGCGCGACGACGAGGAAGGUAUGCGCCACUCAUGCUAAAGCCGCCCCCCCCCGACCCGACCCCUUUCCUCCCGUGUAGCCGCCUAGCCGGGCAGCAUUGGUGCAUGCUUGGCUGCGUGCAAGUGUCGAUUGGGAACUGCGAUGGGAUUUUUUUGGUUGAAUACUGCACUGGGUCAUGGGAUUGUCACUGGCGGUAAUGCUGUUUGUAGCGUUGUUCAUGCGAUGAUUGGUUAGUUAGCUAUCGAUAGUGUAUACUGACUGAUGUGAUUGUAGGAAGCAGAAGUUUGAAUUCAGGUCAUCGCUGGUUCCAUUGCUCUCGCAGCUUCUUAUGUAGAUAGAUUAUUGCUUAAGUCUCGGACUCUGUAAAUUGGUCAAGCAAAACCCCAGUCCCUAAGUUUCGUAUUUAUCAGCUGCUGCAUUAUUGAUCAUUGAUUGGUCUAGCCAGAUCAUAAAAACUUAUACAUACUUCUUAGUAGCGUUGGCAUUACAACAGAUUUUGUAUUGCUCUUUCCUUUUGAGAAGUAAUGGAACUUGGAGGCAGUGAAUUCAUGCCUAUUCUCAUAACUUUUUUCCAAUAGUUUUUGUUCUGAGUAGCAUCGCUAGGAUGAGCAUAUUUGGAGAAUAUAUAGCUUCUAAUUGUUCAUUUACAUGGCUAACGUGAGACCCAAAAAAUGUGUUUUUGGGUGAUCCAGGAUCAGGAUCACGUACAUCCAACUCUGAUGGAAUAGGAUUCUUUAAUCCUGUCAUGGCAUUUAUGGGACAAAAUGGUGAGGAGAACUCUACGGAAGUAUCAGAAAAGCAACAAUUGCCAAUACAUUCGUCAGCAGAAGAAGAAAAUCAUAGGGUCACCACCGAGCCAGCUACAUCUGAAGCAGAUGCUUCUGAAGUAUCAGUAACAACCCAAUCUCCAAAGCAGCUUCCAAAAUUAGAAGAGAAUGUCAGCAGCUCCACUGAGCUACCUGUAUCUAAGGUGGAUGUUCCUGACCAAUCUGUAACACCGCAAGCUCCAACACAUCCUUCAGCAUUAGAAGAAAAUAAUGGUGGCUCCACUGAGUCACCUACAUCUAAGGGGGCAACUUCUGAAGUAUCAGAGACACCGCAGUCCCCGAUACAUCCAUCUAUAGCCGAAGAAAAUUCUAGUGGCUCCAUUGAAACUAGUAACUCAGUUGAGAGGGAAAAUCAGGGUCACGAAGGUAAUGAAUAUUCUGAUCCCAAUGACGAAGCUUUACCGAGCCAGCUUGGAGUGUCCGGCAGGGACAUACCUGGUGGUGGAACAUCUUCACCUAAUAAAUUAGAUCAAUCAAGUGUUAUUGGAGCAGAAGAAUCUAUUCAUGAUGGAAAGGAUGACACAAAUGGUAACCAGUCACAGCCAGCAGAUUCCACGGUAGCCAGUUCAGAUGAUGUAAAUGAAGGCAAUAAGAUUGGUCAAGAAUUUGAUGCCCAAAAGGAAAUAAUCAGCCCACAUGAGAGCAAUGUUAUCGAUGACAAAGCCAGUCAUGUGGAAGUCAAGUUACAUGACGACGCUGCUGAGAAUGAAGAAGAAAACAGUCAAACAGAAGCACAUGCAGUAUCUGUUGUUGAAAAUGUGGAUAAUACAGUGUUGCAACUUGAAAACCCUACCUCAAAGUCGAUAACUAUGGAUGAUGAUUCAGACUCGCAAAAUGAGUUAGCACCCGCUUCUGUACAUGUUCCUGUUGGUCUUGUAGAAGUUGGUUCUCAUGCAAAUGAUUUGAGAAAAGAAGAAAAGAUUCAUGACUCUGUAACAACCAUAAAUUCUCGAGAAUCUGUUGGUUCUGUUGUUGAACUAGAGAAACUAAGACGUGAAAUGAAGAUGAUGGAUGCUGCAUUGCAAGGUGCUGCAAGGCAGUCCCAGGUAUCAUUUCCAAAAUCCACAUGCUCUAGCAUCUACUGUAGCAAUUAAGUUAGUAACAUGUUUGGUUGAGGAACUAGACAGUGAGUAUAUCAUCCGAUUCUAGCCCACUUGUUUGGGUUGAGGAAUAGACUCGGUUAGUCCAACACCACUUCAUCCUUCAUAUGCAUGAGAUUGGCACUAAUGGGAAUUGAGUCAUCCCACCAAUUUGAUUGAUCAUCCCAUGUUGAGGCAACUCAUCUUGGAUUGAGGCAAUCCCUCGAACUAAAUACCCCCUUGAUGCAUGUGUGGUUGAACUUGUACAUUAUGAAAGUUACUCCUGGAUGAUUCAACUUGGAAGCAAACCUUUAGUGCAAUCUGUUUGAACCAAUGAGUGCUUGCUAAAUUGUCUGUAUAUGUACCUUUUUAUUCAGUCUGAAUCUAGUUUACCCGUGAUGUGGAUUCAUCUCAUAUUUUCCUUUUUUUGGGGUGUCAUGCUUUACGGAAAAAAACAUAAAAUAUGUACAGUUAUCUAAUAUUUCAAAGUGCUUUGUAGUGUCAGAAAGGAGCAUAUCAUGCAAUUAUCUUUCUUCUUUUCUGAGUAUUAUAUUCUGAUGCACCGAGCCGGUCAUGAGGUAUUAUGUGCUUCAGAUGCGUUCUUAACAAUGAUCGUCAAAACAUUGUAUAAUUUGAAUGGCCUAUGGCCCCAUGUUAGUCAUUUCUUUGCAACAUACAUGACCCUUCACCACCUAUUUAGGUUCUAACAACACUUUAUUUUUCCUACAGUCCAAAGCUGAUGAAAUUGCUAGACUGAUGAAUGAAAAUGAGCAAUUGAAAUCAGCAAUUGAUGAGCUCAAGGUAUGUUUGCUAAGCAGAUUCCUUAUCUUUUGCCUUCUGGACAUAAACAUUUGGGAUGUCUUUCAGUUAAUUAACAAAAAAAGGAUGCCUUCGGUUUAGUAAUCACCACAAUUUUGAGUUGAAUUAUGUGAAAAUAAACAAGAUAAAUACUGAGUUGCUUGGCAGCUCCUUUAGCCUUUGAUGAGUGUUAUAAUAAAUUUUUUUACUGUACAGGGUAAGUCAGCUGAAGAAGAAAUGGAUGCUCUCAAGGAUGAAUAUCACCAAAGAGUAGCAACUCUUGAAAGGAAGGUGAGACACAUUACUUUUGUUACUCAGUGCUACUAUUGACAGUUGAUCAUUGCGUAUUGCAUACGGCAACCUGAUUUAGGACUAAUAAUCAUGGAGAACAGAUAGAUACAAGUGCGCUAAAUGCCGCUAAGACCAGAGGGUUGAUAAACAAUAUACGAUAUUACUCACAUACAAUAUUGUAAUUACUAAUUACAAUCUUCAUGCUUUUUGUGCGGUGGUAGGCCUGGUAAUGGGGCUAAGCCCGCACCGAAUCCAAACCACACCAUAACAUCUCACGUGUAUUUCCCAAUCGCAACCAAACCAGAAGUGAAAUUAGAAAACCCAAACCACACCGCACCGUACGACUUCUCCAUCCAAUCCGCACCAAACCAAUUCAGAAACCGCAGGCUCCGGCACCACGGUCAGGCUUCGAUGGAGAUAGGCGGAGGGAGGCAGAAGCGGGGAGAUUGAAGGGCGACCGGUGGCGGAGGGUGUUGGACCUUGGGGACACUGGCGACGUGCAGAUCGGGAGGAAAAUGAUGUUGGGGAGCAGAUUGGGAGGAAGACGAUGUGGGGGAGCCGGUUACAGUUUACGAAGAAGAGGAGGCAGGGGGCGCCGGCGGCGGAGCGCCGGAUCAGGCAAGGGCGGCUGGCGGUGGAACGCCGGAGCAGGCAGGCGACGACAUCGGGAGGAAAACGAUGUGGGGGAGCCGGUGACAGUUGACAAGGAGGAGGAGACAGGGGGCACCGGCGACGGAGCGCCGGAUUAGGCAAGGGCGUCUGGCGGCGGAACGCCGAAGCUGGCAGGUGGCGGCGAGCGCAACCCCGUCACCAUCACAAGGGGAAGUUGAGGCCGUGCCAUCAUGGUCUUUGUUAUUCCAAGUGGUGUUCAUGGGCUGAAACCAAGGUUGGAGACCACGGUCUGAGCCCAAUUCAGUUCUAGACCGGUCCAAACCAAACCGCACCAGUCCAAACCGCAUUUGUACUAAUACCAAACCAGCCCAGACCGAUUUUCUAUCCCAUCCAUUUGAAACCGCACUGUUUGAACCCGCAUGCAAAACCCGCACCAAAAAAACCGAACGAACCUGCACCAUUACCAGGCCUAUGCAGUGGCUCUAUUUUGUUAUUCUUUUUUUUUGCAUUCUUUGUUUUAAUGGUAAAAUAAUCAAAGAUUCUCUUCUGUGCUUUAAACUUUGAACUUUAUGUUAAUGGUAAAAUCAUGGUAAAAUAAUCAAGCUAUUUAGCUACACUUUGAACUUCUUUUUCCUGCAAUUCUUCUAUUGUUGAACCCUUUGACUAGCUGGGGCGCAAUUACAUUUAUUGCACUAUGGUUAAUUUUGUUUUUCUCUUAAUUCAGUUCAUCAAGAAAUUGAGUUGAUAUUUAAUACUAAAGUUGUGUUUAGAGUGAGGCAAUGAGCUGCAUUAGUAAGGUUCCUUAGAAUGCUAUUGUCAGAAUCUCAUAAUCCUCUAUGUCAUUUUUUGUCCCUUCCGGGUUCAUAACUUAUAUUGCCAGUGUCCUUGUUCAUAUAUACAAUUAAUCUUGUGCAUAGCACUGAAAUGUUUGUAAUGUGCAUGCCUCAAUGUGUGUAGGUUUAUGCACUAACCAAAGAACGAGACACAUUGAGGAGAGAGCAAAAUAAGAAAAGUGACGCGGCUGCUCUUUUGAAAGAGAAGGACGAAAUUAUCAGUCAGGUUAUGGCUGAAGGUAUGCAUAAUUGUGAUUUUUAUGCUUACUGAACAUAUUUUAACUAAUGUUAAGUCAAAAUAUGUUCUGUUGUAUUGUUGAAAACAAUAUGAAAUUGCCUUUUCUAUUAUUUAAAGACAUCCAGUGAACAUUCCAAAUAUUAAUGUUACCAUACGUUAUGUUGCACCGUGUCGAGCACCCUUUAUUGAUUAGAGUCAUUUCAAUCGUGACUUCAAUGAUCAUGCAUGAAUAUGUACAUAUUAGUAAGAUUAGAAAAAUAUGUAAUUGCCUCCAGAACAUGGAUAUAAGACCAUAAAAAUGACAUCACAAACUUUUAAACCACCUAUCACUUCUGUAUGGGCCUGUACUCUGCAGUUUAUCGUGUGAUAUUUGGAAGUUUUGUGUCUUUAAGCUAGCCUUGGUUGAGUGCCUUACUGCUUUGGUUGGAGCUGAAGUCCUUGGCUCUCUGCUGUAAGGCUCUGAUCUGGCUACCAAUGGUAGUUGUAGAUAACUAGGUAUUAGGCAUGCACAUUUUCUUUGUGAAAAGGGCCUAAUGCCCUAAUGUGUAAGUUUGCCGUUAUUCCUCCAUCCGCUGCUUUAGACCAUGUACAUACUAUAGCCCCCCAUGUGAUCAUGUUCACCUUUUUAGUAUGUUCUGGACCAUGAUUGGCAAUGACACUAACAUCUUGUUUUUACCAAUGGAACAGGCGAAGAGCUAUCCCGAAAACAAGCUGCUCAAGAAGCUACUAUACGGAAACUGAGGACGCAGGCAUGGGAUAUGACUCUAUAACCAUACUACUUCAUCAAAAUUAUAAAGUAGGUUUUACCAAAGUAAUCAAGUUUGCUUUCUUUUUUUUGGUUGAAGCUAGGUUCGUGAGCUUGAAGAAGAAAAACAGCGGAUGAACUCAAAGAUCCAGGUAAAAAGGAAAAUCAACUUUGUUUUAUUAAUGAAUGAAUAAAUAAAUUAAUUGACCCCAACUAAAUUAUUUUCUUAUCUGCUUUAAUAUCAUAAAGUAUUUUUCUUUGCUGUUUGCAUGAUUAAAAAAAUCAUUUCUGAAGCUAUUUUUUAUUGUUUGUUUAUUCCUAUUUGUUUUGUUCCAUUUGAACAGUAGUUUGCAUCACCCGUACAGCUUGUUUACAGUUUCAUGAGUUCGUUACAGUCAGACAUGCUUUUUUCUUUCUUACUUGGUUGAUGGGCAACUCUGAAAUAUUGCACUCAGAGAUUAUGGAGUUGAUCUUCAUCCUUUUUGUUUGCUCUCAGGCUUCAAGUGCAGUCACUAACUCAGCAAUUUUCUGACUUUACAGGUUGAGGAGACAAAGGUUGAGAGUAUUAAAAGAGACAAGGCAGCAACCGAGAAGUUGCUACAAGAAACAAUAGAAAGAAAUCAAUCUGAACUUGCAGCUCAGAAGGAGUUCUACACAAAUGCUCUUAGUGCAGCAAAAGAGGCUGAGGCAUUAGCUGAAGCAAGAGUCAACACUGAAGCCAAAGUUGAGCUUGAGAGCCGUUUGAGAGAAGCUGGUGAAAAAGAAAACAUGCUGAUUAACACAAUUGAUGAGUUGAGGAAUGCUCUCACCAGACAAGAACAGGAGGUAUGCUAUGAAAAUAUUCGUCUGCACCUGUGCAUCUGUAGUUCAACAUCCUCGGUACAAAUAGUGUGUAUAUUGUGCUGAUCUAACCAUAAUCUACAUUUGACUCCUGGAUAAAAACUUCAUCUGAUAAUUAUUGUUUUAGCUGCCCACUUUCGAUUCACUGAUUGCAAGUAUUUCUUUCGUGGCAUUUCAGGCAGCUUUCAGGGAAGAAAGGCUAAAAAGGGAUCAUGAUGAUCUUCAAAAGCGGUACCAAGUAAGCUCUUCUGUUUUAGCUGCUACUACAGAGUACUGUAGUCAUGGACCAAUUCUCAAUUUCUUUCAUUAUUUAAUACUUCAGGCCAGUGAACUUCGUUAUAAUGAACUGGUUACACAAGUUCCUGAGUCGACCAGGCCACUCCUAAGGCAAAUUGAAGCCAUGCAGGUAUGAGUGCUUGCUUUGGAUUUUCCUUGUGCUGUAAUUGUUUCGCUGUUCUUCUGUUAGUUGGUGUAUGCAUCCGAGUCUGUGAAUUGAGUUUUUCUGCUGUUGUAAGUUGGCUAAUCAGUUGUGUUUUAAUUUUAACAGGAGUCAGCUGCUCGAAGGGAAGAAGCUUGGACUGGUGUGGAGAGAACCUUAAACUCUCGCCUUCAGGUCAAUUCUGUUCUGAACUUUUGGUUUAACAGUGAUGUGCAGAAAAACAAUGGAGAAAACUAGAACUACAACAUGGACCUUAAAUUGUUAUAAAUGUGCAAUGAGCAGGGACAGCAGAACAAAAUGGACAUAAACUUUGACAUUAAGUCAUUAAUAACUGUUUUCUUGUAGUUAUUUAUGCCUCUGCAAAUGUACAGAUAAAGAGGAGUGGUUGGGUGCUAUCUAUCUUUAGUGCAGUCGGGCAGUGUCAGGAACACAAACAUAAAUAUUUCACUGACAUAGUUUUAUCUGUCCUACUCAAAUAUGCAGGAAGCAGAAGCAAAAGCUGCUGCCUCGGGAGAAAAGGAGCGGUCCAUAAAUGAGAGAUUGUCACAAAGUUUAUCACGCAUAACUGUUUUGGAGACCCAGGUUUGUGCAAUAAUUUCUUCUAAAAACAAAAACUUGUGACAUUAUUGUAAGUCAACCCGGGUUUUUGGCAACAAUUUGGGGCCUUUAGUAAGAAAAGUAUUUAUUUUGAAAUGAACUUUGUGUCUUGUGCAGAUUACAAUUCUUAGAACAGAGCAGACACAGCUGAGCCGAUCUCUUGAAAAAGAGAGGCAGAGAGCAUCUGAAAGUAGACAGGAGUACCUUGCAAUUAAGGAGGAGGCGGCAAUACAAGAAGGACGCGCCAAGCAACUUGAAGAAGAAAUAAAGGAGCUUAGAGCUAGGCACAAAAAGGAGUUGCAAGAAGCAGCAGAACACAGGGGGCUGCUUGAGACGGUAGUCAAUUUUCUCUGUGAAUCACUUCCUGAAAAGAACUGGAACUACAUGUAUACGGAGCAAUGUUUCUGCUGCCAAUUUCAUUGAUGAGACCUAGAAACACUUUGUUUAACAUAUGACAUAAAAUUUGAACUUUGGAGGCUAUCUUAUAGCAGGCCUAUUUUAGGAUCAACCGGUAUUUGUUUACUUCGUUGCUUUCCCUACGUGAAGAAAAUUAGUUUUAAAUGUCACUAAUCAUGUGCCUGCCAUUAGAUCUUCUAGUUCAUACAUUACCAACUUGGCAACAAUUUAAUGUGUCUAUUAAAUUCUUGCGUCAAUUGCAACUUCUGAAUUUCAGGACCUUGAAAGGGAAAAGGCUGCCAGAGCAGAACUUGAGAAAACAUCUUCCCGGGAGCCACCUAAAAUUCCGCUUCCAGAUCAAACAAGUAUGCUCUUUCUUGGCCUCUGAUUAGUUUCUGUAAGUUCAAUCCAGCUUUUCUUUUUUGUUGCCUUACCUGUGACUCUGUUGGUUUCCUCUUUGCUUUUCUUGAAGGAAAUGCUCCUGUCAGAAGGCUCUCUAGUGCUUUGAGUGUUGGCAGCCUGGAAGAAAGUCAUUUCCUUCAAGCAUCAUUGGACUUAUCAGAUAGUUCAUCAUUGGAGAGGAGAAUGUCAGCAGAAAAUAAUAUGUCAUACUAUCUGAGGAGCAUGACUCCAAGUGCUUUCGAGUCAGCACUCCGUCAAAAGGACGGAGAACUGGCUUCUUACAUGUCACGCUUGGUAUGUAUAUGUGCGGAUGCAUCCUUCUAAUAUUUCUCCUAAACUAUUUUAUUUUAUUUUCUUGCUAUAUAUAUAAAUUUGAUAUUACUUCUGGAAACUGACAUUUGCUGAUUAUUCAAGCUAUUAUUUCAUAAAGUAUAUUGGAGUAGAAAGCUAUUUUUAGCCGAUUUACACCUGAACUUGUGCAUUAUGGAUGUCUAAAAUAUUUCUAGUUAAGUUUAGCACUAGCUUGUGCAUACACACACUAUUUCACACUCCCUUUAAAAAUUGGUGAAACUAUAUCAAGUUGCUGGCAAACCCUGAGCCCAACUGUAUGUUGCCAUAUAGCGUUUUUUUUUGGCUGUUUUCAUGAGGUGCCUGGUUACCUAACUUAUAUCAUUCAGCAUCAUCUAGAAUGUAGUGGGCCAUUUACUCCCUGGACAUUGUAUCAAGCACUCAUCAGUCCCAUACUAGUUUUAAAACCCUACGGGUUAAUUACUACAAAUUCAUGUGUCAUUCUCAUAUAUCCUAAUUUGUGAAGAAGCAGGAGCGGUAGCUUGGAAUAGUUCCACGACUUGUGUUUUCAUAAGAUGUUUUACCUUUACAUGUUUUGCCCACUAGAAUGGCCUACACCAUUUGAAGCCAUCUAUGCUGGCAACGUUUCCGUAUCUGUUUCAUGUUCUAUCAAACAAUCUUCAGUCCCAUACUGGUUUUAAAAGCCUAUGUGUUAGCUACUACAAAUUUGUGUGUCAUUCUCGUAUAUCCUAAUUUCUGAUGAAGUGGAAGCAAUAGCUUGAAAUAGUUCUGUGACUUAUGUUUCCAAAAGGAUGUUUCUUUUAUCAUGACAUCAGGUCACCCUCAAAUGUUCAUCAUUUAGGUUAGGUUUAGGAUAUGAUAUGUUUGUACUACUUGUGCUACAGCCUUGAGAGCAUUGUCGUAGACUCCUUGGGUAUGCAAUUGUUCUAAUACUUCGGCCUUCAUGCUUUAGUACGCUAAUCUCUCUUGCAAUUGGCACUGAAUAAAUGUCACUUUUAUAUUACAGGCCUCAUUAGAAUCUAUUCGGAAUUCUCUGGCGGAGGAGUUGGUGAAACUGACAGAACAAGUAAAUCAUUGUGAACCAACUAGACUAUAAUUUCAUUAUAUAUGCGGGUGCUAAUUGAACUGGUUUCGUAUGCAGUGUGAAAAAUUGCGGACUGAAGCUGCUGCUCUGCCUGGCCUAAGGGCUGAACUGGAAGCACUGAAACAAAGACACUUUCAAGCUCUAGAACUUAUGGGUGAACGUGAUGAAGAGGUAUUUCUCACAUGCAGUGCAUCUCACCAUUACUCUCUGUGUUAUUGACUUGUACCACAAGAUACACCAACAAUAUAUAAUCCGUCAUUAUAUUUAGUCUCAUAUCAUAUGGAAAAGGGAGUCCUCUUCAUGAAUCAAAUUGUGGUAGCGAGCUUACAUAGUGGAAUCCUGUAAUUAACUUCACUAAUUAGUAACCUGGAAUUUCUACACUAAGUAGCUUGUAGUGACUUUUGGUGAUUGCAACCUAGCCCACAAACCCAGCUGUUUCAGUCAUAAAACCUGUAACUCGUCUGGUUUUAGAUUUGAUGUUGUUUUUCAAACUUUGGUUAUUGAAAUGUAAACAUCUAUUCGCUGUAAUUUGUUGAAAAUGAGGGUCUGUAUAGAAAUUGCCAUGGUAAAGGAAAACUAGAGGUGACCUGGUCUCAGUUUACGGGGUGGUUACUGGUUGCUAACCACCGGUUGGAACUGCCAUGAUGGCUGGGACUCUGGUUACAUUUUUAUGCACACUCUGUAGCUGCCGUAUAAGAUGGUCCUGAAAAAUGUUUUAGUAAAUUCAAUUAAUAUGACCUAUUACCAAUACUACUUUCUGUUAACAAUGGAAUGGACCCAUGCAUAAGCUUGACAAUGAACUAGUUGUCUGACAGUUGGCAUAAGCUGCCUAAUUUAACCUGUCCGUAUUAGUGUCUUCUCAAAGGGAUGUGAAUUCAAUGCGACAUUGUGUGUGCACGAUACACUUUCGGAUAUCUUUGUAUUAUUGUUCCGUAGACCCUUACCUUCUAUUUCUUUCAUACUUAUUAUGAAAAAAAAUCUGUGCUGUUUUGCAGUUAGAAGAGUUACGAAAUGAUAUUGUUGACCUAAAGGAUAUGUACAGAGAACAAGUGGAUCUUCUUGUUGGCCAGGUUUGAAGUAUAUUGAUUUAAAUUCUGCUUGUCAUUGCGGAACCCUGAAAUGUGUUGCCCUAAAACAUCAAUUUUCCUUUUAUCAGCUCCAGACAUUGGGCGCUCGUGUAUAGCAGUGAAUUUGACAUCCCAUUUAAUUUUUAAUGCACUGCAUCGACCGAGACCAAGAUAACAAUUUUGAAGCCUGAACAUGUUUCUUCAGAAUUCGAACUGAUGCGAGUGUGGGAAGUUCAUAAUCACACAACGAGUGAAGAUAUUAUUUGUGUACAUUUUGAAGCAUCUUUGUUGUUGAAUUUAGUAGGAUAGUUUGUUGUAUACUAGAUUGAAUAGCUUCACAGUUUUACGUUUACAGAAAUUGCAAAAAAAUAAUUUACUGAAGUGUACCAAAUUUGGAACCUACAAGUGUAUGUCGACGUCUCUAAUAAUAUGGAGAUCCUGUUUUGACAGCUUUGUCAGGUUUUCUGUCACUCUGUAAUCCAGGAUUACUUAGUUUGAUUUUUUGCUAGUUUGGAAAGACUAAAAUAUAUUAGAUUAAGACCGCGUAUUGUGAUGUUGCCGCAAAGAAAUGUAUCCAGCCUGGGGAAAAGCUUCAUUCCCAGGUGCACAAUAAGGGUUGUAAAUGCACAGGAAUAGGAAAAGCACGUGACUACAAUAUCAUGCCCCAAAUUGUAUAGGAUUGUGUUUAUGCCAACUUUUUUUUUAUAUAAGUGUUUACUCAAAAGUUUGUUUGAUUCGAUCAUAGUAAGAAAUUUCCAACAGGUUUGAUCAAUAGAAAAUUUCCUAUGAAAUGUGGUUCAAAGAAAUUCUAAGAAAAAUAUCUAUAAAUUCAAUCCUACAAAUCAAACAACAAAGAUAGCAAAAUUUCCUAAGGACUUGCAUUGAAAUAUUGGAGGAUUGGAAAAGUUCCUAAGGACUUGCAUUGAAAUAUUGGAGGAUUGGAAUACUUAGAUUUUUUUUUUCCGGUGGGUUGUUUGAUUUGAAAGUUGAGUCGGGUGGGAAAUCUUUCUUUAGGGUUCUUUUGCACUGUAUUUUAUAAAAAAAGAAAUCUUUUCAUUCAAACCUUUAGUGAAGAUUCAUUUGUUUUUCCUUGAUUCAAUCAAACACAACAUUGAUGUCACCACAAUCUUGUAUUCAAAUAGGCAUGGCAUUGCAAUCCUAUUUUUCAAAUCCUACGAAUCAAAGAGAACCUAUGGAACUUUACAAGAUUACGAUGUUAACAUAGAUUGGAGUUGCAAUGAAGGAUUUUAUGUGAGAACCUAGCUUUGCUGCGAAUUAAAUCUCAAACACUAGAUUUUACGAGAGAACCCAACUUCGUAGCGGAUCAAAUGUCAAAACGCCGCCAAAGAGACGGUAUGUUUGAUACCACUCAGUCAGAUCCUUCUACGUGUGAUCGACAAUUCACCAGAAGAUACUUUCUUUUGUCCUGAUGUUGUUGCCAGAGCAAUCUGGCUUUGUAAUUAUCCAAUCUUUUGAUAACUCCUCUAGUUUGCUUUGACGAAAGACUGACAUGUGCAAAGAAACACUACUUAUACUGUUAUACAUGCCUCCAAUAGAUUAAAAAAAACUUUUACAGCCUUCCAACUUCUUUUCAACUCUUUCCUCUUUAGGUUCCCAAUGAGAAUUGCUCAGUCUUUUAACGUCCACUGGAAUUCCCUCAUAAGUUAAGGGGAGACUACCCAUGUUAAAAUCGAAAAUUUUACUAGAACAAACACUUCUUUGAGCAAAAUCUCUUACACGGUACAACUCGCUCUUAUGAAAGUUAACUUUCUGACCAUGAACUAGCUCAAAAGCACAUAAAACGAAUUUUAAGUUUUUGUCGUGGACCAGAUCAUCCUUAAAUUGACAAGCCCCCCCCCCCCCCCCUUCUGCUUAAAAAGGGAUAAAAAAAGGGAAACAUGAGUUGUUGAACUGCCAUUCGAGUCCAUGGUUUUUUUUUUCUUUUCUUUUUUCUAGAAUACACCCAAGCAGGUGUAUCAUAUAUUGAAGGAGGAUUCCGCGACGCAUUUACAUGCCCGUAGGCGCCAGUAAAGCGACCAUUCUAUUACAUUCCACAAGGGAUCCACUAGACUAGAAAGCGAAAAAUCUACACUAUGAAAAAGACCCGCGCUCGACCAUGCCCUUCCUUCACUGUUGAUCAUUUGUUGUAUCUUUCUAGCACUCGGAGUUGCUGCAUCGAACACCACCGAGUUCCUGUGCUUCCAGAGGCACCAGCAGAUGAGAGUAAUGCUAGUGUUGAGGUUCCUCUUCUCUUUCUUGCCUUGCACCACAAGGCUCGUCCACCAUUCGGCAAGAGAGGCUUGCGGAGUAGGGAGCCAGCAAAGCCUGUUCCAGCCCCGCAGCGAGGUCGACCACACUUCCCGAGCCACGACGCAACCAAGAAGAAGAUGGUCAAUGGUCUCAUUGCUUUGAUCACACAAAGGACAGCGUGCCGGGUGGGGCAAACCCCGCUUCGAAAGCCUAUCCGCCGUCCAACAACUAUUUUUUAGAGCCAACCACAUGAAUGUCUUGCACUUAGUUGGCGCCUUGGAGGACCAGACCUCAGUAGCCCCCGCAGCAAGCACACGACCCCGGAAGAAAGCCGCGUACGCAGACGAGGCCGUGUAGGUCCCAUUGUCGCUCCAUUUCCAAUGGAAACGAUCAUCAUCGUAUGAAAGAAUCACCUCAGCCACGCGGUCAUGAACCACCAGAAGAUCCACAAGCGCCUGAAAGCAGAGCUCCGGGUGGAUGGCCCGAAGCCAACCAUUGGCAUGCAAAGCCUCGGCCACAGAAAGCCUGGAUGCCCUACGCAAGAUCUCCGAUAGCAGCGUAGGCGCCAAAUCCGCAAGUGAACGCCCCUCCGGUAGCCAAGGAUCAUACCAAAAAUGUAGAGCUUCACCAUUCCCCCUUGCCACCUCAAUCGCCGCCUCACAAAGUGCCCUGGCCUGUUCCGGGAUUUGGAUGUUGAAUUCAGCCCAUGGACGCGUCGGGUCCACAUGACAUAGCCACCCCCAUCGUGUUCUGAGUGCAAGAUUGAGAAGCUUCAGAUUAGGGAUGCCUAAACCACCAAUCUUGCGAGGGGAACUGCCUUUCCACAAGAACACACGACAUAUCUUCUCUAUGCCCGCAAUGGUCUUCAUAGGAAGGUUGAGAGACAUCAUGACAUAGACCGGCGUAGCUGAGAGGGUCGAUCUAACAAGGGUGAGCCAUCCCCCAAGAGUAAGCAUAGGGACGGACCAUGUCUGGAGCUUAUUCGCCACCUUGUCCACCAUAGAUGAAAGUUGAGUUGCCGUUGGCUUCCGAAGCCCGAGAGGUAAGCCCAAUUAGGUACAUGGGAAAGGCCCCACCUCACAACCAAGCGUGCAAGAUCAAUGGUCUUGACAAAGAUAUUUAAAGACUUGUAUUGUGCUACCGAAUUCAUAUUAGCAAACGUGCAAGAUCAAUAUUUGUUUAGUUUUUUUUUGACAACAUAGAUCAAUAUUUGUUUAGACACGAUGAUUGAGCGAGUACAUGCGAUGUAACAGUCGGAAAAGGUUUCACACAAGUUCAUUUGUCAGUGAACAAAUUAUCUGCAUUGCAUUUUUUCAUAACAAUACAUGGACGUCUGUUCCGUUGGGCUCAAAAAGAAUUAAACAAAAAAUAAACGUCGACAGCAGGAUUCGAACCUGCGCAGGCAAAGCCCAACAGAUUUCGAGUCUGUCUCCUUAACCACUCGGACAUAUCGACCCACUUGGUCUUUUAUUCCUCUCAGUAUUUAUAUACAUGACUAUUCUGUUAACAGAUUGAUGAUUUUUUGUCAUUGCUAUAACCAUCUUUUACAAAAUAUUUGAAGCUUGCAGCAGAACAUGUAAACAUUUAUUCCUUUGAGAUGCGGGGUCAUAAUUUCUGCAAAAAAAAAACUCUGUACCCUUUUCGCAAGAAAAGAAGGAGAGCUAUCACCUGAGUACUCCGUAUUUAGCAUUCUUUAAUUUACAUACUAGUGCUCUAGAAAAAAGUUGCAUAUAGCUUCGUUGCCAAAUCAGACGGGCACUCGGGGCUGCAAUUGCAUGAUGGGCAAUUUGCCAUGCAUUAUUUGACGGAGUACCAACACGGAACACCCGGAAGCGUGAGGCAGCAGGUGCAUUCUUCAGUCAUUCAGUCCAGCCUUCCCUUUCGGUUUCUCCGCUGCCCUUGCCUAGCUAGGCUAAGCUUGUUUAGCUCGUAACAUUUCAAUGUUAAGUUUGCUAUCUUCCAAUGAGGAGUCCACUGUAGUAGCAUUAGCAGUUGGGUUGGUAUGGCCAUCUUGGUAGCUUCUUCUAGCCUCGGGACUUUACAAUCGAAUGCAUCAAUGCAAGAACAUAUGCAUUGUGAUGUACUAACAAGGAUCGAUAAGUAGAAUGAAAUCUGUGUCUUGUUCCAUUAAAUGAUGAUUAUAUUUAUACAAGAGGAAGGGACACCAAUACAUGCAUUGGUGUCCCAAGUUUUGGGCAUUCGCAUCCCGACACAGACGGUUACAACAUUGACUGCCUAAUUAACCAUUAAUUAACUAAUAAUUAAUUCUAAUUGAUCAUAAAUAAUUAUUCUCAACACUCUCCCUUGAUCAAUUUGCUCCAUUGAUUUGUAUAUUCUUGAAUCAUCAUGAAAUCUUGUAAUUUCCUCUAAAAACCCUAUGGGAAAAAUAUUGAGGAAAUAAUAAUAAUAUCGAUAUGUUAUGAAAAACUCCCUUUAAAAAUCCAAUGGGAAAAAUAAGGAGAAAAUGGUAUAACAUAUUUUGAAUAUUGUCUCUUGAUAAUUCAUAUUGAAUUAUAUGAACAAUAAAUAUGCCUUGUAUAUUAUCCACAAAAAUCCCGGUGGGGAAAAUAUAAAAUAUGACAUAUAAUCUUAUGUUAAUAUUGUCUCAUUAAAAACCUUUUAUGAGAAACUAGUGAGUAAAACUCAUAAUAGGAAAAGAGUGCAAUAUGAUGUUAUGAACAGGUUAAAUUCAGGUGAAUACUCCCCCUAAUGCUUGCAAAUUUUUAAGUCGUCGCAUACCAAUCCCAUGUACACAUUUUUUAAAUGUGGAGUUGGGUAAGGACUUAGUGAACAAAUCUGCGAGGUUAUCACGUGAUUUGGUUUGCAAGAUAUUUUUCUCCCCAUUUUGUUGUAAUUCAUGAGGAUAGAAUAGUUUAGGUGCAAUAUGUUUAGUUAUAUUGCUUUUUAUAUAACCUGUUUGCAUCUGGGCAACACAAGCAGAAUUAUCCUCAUAGAUAAUUGUUGGUGAUUCAAUCAAACCAAUACCACAUGAUUGUUGUAUAUGGUUAAUCAUUUUGCAUAGCUAUACACUUUCACGAGAUGCUUCGUAUAAAGCUAUUAUUUCUGAAUGAUUUGUGGAUGUAGCCACUAUAGUUUGCUUAGAAGGCUUCCACGAUAUGACUGUCCCACCGUGUAGGAACACGAAACAGGUCUGGGAUCUGGCAUUCUGGGGAUCAGAUAAAUAGCCAGCAUCAGUGUAUCCGAUUAAUUCAGAGUCUUGGUUUUCCUGUUGGAAAUAUAGACAUAGAUCUUUAGUGCCUUGUAGGUAGCGAAAAACUUGCUUGACUCCUACCAAUGACGUUUUGUUGGAGCUGCGCUGUGUCUAGCUAGUAAAUUUACAGCAAAUGCAAUAUCUGGCCGGGUGCAAUUUGCUAGGUACAUUAAUGCUCCAAUGACACUAAGAUAUGGGAAUUCAAAUCCUAAAAUUUCCUCUCCAUCACCUUUUGGUCUGAAUGGAUCUUUCUCUACGUCUAGAGAUCAAACUACCAUAGGUGUUUUGCAUUGAUAGGAUUUGUCCAUGUUAAAUUUCUCUAAGAUUUUCUGGAUAUAUGUAGCUUGGUGAACCAAUAUUCCCGAAGGAAGGUACUCAAAUUGUAAACCUAAGCAGAACUUGGUUUUACCCAAAUCUUUCAUUUUAAAUUCCGUCAUUAGAUAAUUACGAGCUUCAUCUAUAUCCUGUUUGUUGCCAAUGAUGUUUAAAUCAUCAACAUAUACAGAGAUAAUGCAAAAUCCUGUUUUGAAUUUCUUGAUGAAUACACAUAGGCAGUCAUCAUUGUUAGAGUAAUCCUUUUUAAUGAGAAACUCACUUAGUCGGUUGUACCACAUUCUACCCGACUGUUUUAAACCAUAUAAAGAUUUAUUCAACUUUACACAGUACAUGUUGCGUCUUGCGUUAGUAUUCGGAAUUUGGAUCCCAUCGGGAACCUUCAUGUAAAUGUCCGAAUCUAAUGACCCAUAAAGAUAUGCAGUCACGACGUCCAUUAACAGCAUAGAUAGACGAUUUUGAACAGACAAUGAGAUUAAAUAUCGGAAAGUAAUUCCACUCAUAACCGGAGAAUAUGUUUCAUUGAAAUCAAUGCCGGGUCUCUGCGUGAACCCUUGUGCUACUAGUCUCGCUUUGUAUCUCACCACCUCAUUGUUUUCGUUCCUUUUCUGGACAAAAAACCCAUUUGAAUUCCACUGGAAAAACAUUUGGAGGUGUAGGUAUUAUUUCUGUAAAUACCUUUCUUUUAUUGAGCGAGACUAUUUCUGCUUCAAUUGCAUCCUUCCAUUUAGGCCAGUCGGAGCGUUUUUCACACUCAGCUAUGGUCUUUGGAUCAUGAUUAUUUAGAAGGUUGUUUGCAAUCUUAGUAGAGAAAUAAGUGUCGACAAACGUAGUCUUUCUGUUGUAUAUUUCUCCAGUGUCUAAGUAAUUUGUGGAAAUUUCGUUUAUCUUUGGUGACUGUUCGCGAUUUCCCGUUGCGGUCAAGUCUAGGUUUUCCGAUGUCCCAGCAUCAGUAAUUGAGUGCACUAUUGAUCUGAGUUGUGGAUGUUGGUUAUCCACUGGGUGUCUAUUACCCAAUUGAUCUCGGUCAAUUAAAUGUUGACUCACAUUUGUUGUUGUAGAAGGAGGUUCAGAAGGUUUAUUCUUCUGUUUUCUUUGCCGCGGCUCCUUCAUUUGUUCCUUUUGUUGCUUGCUGGAAGCUUGAUCCUUUUUAGUUGUCGUACCUCUCCCCCUCUUCCUUUGAACGGUAGGUGCAGGAGGUUGAGUAGUUUUUAUAGGUACCUCCACUCUUUCGGAUACGUUUUGUGCAUGAUUAUAGGAUUUAGUUACACCUUUGUAAUCAACAAAUGCGUUUGGUAAAUUGUUUGCAAUAUGUUGCAAAUUUAUAAUUUUCUGAACUUGUUGUUCAGUUUCUUGAGUACGUGGAUCUUGAAAGGGCAUUUCUUUCCUAGUUAAUUUUGGUGGUGAUGACAACGUGUGUUGUGGACUAAUCGUGCGUUAAGUAUUUCAGAUUUGAUAUCAAAUGGCGCAAAACGAUUCGAUGCCCUCAAGUUAGAAAACAAAGAGUAGUGGAGUUUUCGCGGCUUUUUCGGUUAUGGAGUCGUAGGAACUCCGUACUAUUAAGAGGGAGUUCACAUGGGAAGGUAAUGGGUGAAU